RNAcentral lists this long non-coding RNA (48232 nucleotides) under Physcomitrium patens. RNAcentral describes it as "long non-coding RNA (PPAT_LNC013054)". The record is from RNAcentral. Lineage: Eukaryota; Viridiplantae; Streptophyta; Bryopsida; Funariales; Funariaceae.
UCCCAUAGUAGGUUUUAUGUUCCAACCACCAUAGAUGUAAUCUAAUUCCAAUCUAUUGGCCCAUAUAAUAUUGAGCAUUGGAGAUGGCUAUCAACUGUUGUCAUAUAGGCAAGCAUAGAAUUACAAUACUUAUUAGGUGGUCUACUAUUCUUAUAUAUAGAAUUUAUUGUAUCAAUCCUUCUGCUUAGGCCGCAUAUAGCUGAGUUGGAUAUAUUUUAUGGUUAUUCAUGGCAAUGAAGAUCAGCUUUGUUUGUUUAAAAAAAAAAAAAAAAAAAAAAAAGUUAAAUGAGGUGAAACCAACUAAUUAGUUAUAAUUAGUUCCAAAAAAAGAGGAUAAAUCUUUUUUCUUUCUUUUAAUUGGCUAUUUUUAUUUUUGAUUAAUUAAAGGUGAAGAUUUAAUUUUUAAAAUGUGUUCUUUAAUAUUCCUAAUUCAUUUAAAAUUAUAUACUUUAUUCAAGAUUUUUGAAAUGAUACAAUUUUAAAAAAUAAAUGUUAUACUAACCAUUCCACACAUGGUUGGAUUAAACAGACAAAUUCCCAAAUAAAUCCUCAACUUAGAUUUAUGAUGAAUAUUGUCUAACAAAUUUUUAUUUGUAGUUGGUCUAGUUUAGAUUAGAGAUUUUAUGCAUGUUCACAAUUGGGUAUUGUAUAACAAAUUUUUAUUAAUUGUGGAACUUGUCUAGGUUUUCUGUGGGUCAAGUUGUGUACAUGAAUACAGAUAUUACAUUGUAAAGUACUAAAUCAGUCAUAAAUAAAUAUGAAAUCAACACAUGCACGUUUGUAUGCCUUUGCAAUGUUUUUCAAAAGCUAUGGAUUAUAUUUUCUAAAUUUAUCUUGAUAUUUUUAAAGUUGAAUAUGAGUUCAAAACAAAAAAAUUAAACAACAUUUUUUUUUUUUUUUUUUGUUUUUUGUGACUGAAUAGACUUGGCUUCAUCAAGAAAGCACAAUUCAAUUUUACAUUAUACCAAUGCAGCCUCGACGUCGCCGGAUCGAACCUCGCCGCCGGCAUCGACGUUAUUGCUGUGCCAAACGGUAGUCGUCCGAUGGUCUUCAGAACGGCAAUUGUAAGCCGUCCGAUCCGCAUCCACGUAGGGUAUUUAGGCUUUUUGAAAUGUUUUUUUCCCUCCUUCAUCGUCGUCUUCAAUUAUCUACACAUUGUGUGCCAACAAUCCAGAGUCAGAAUUGCUCGUUGAUUCGAAGUUUGCACGGUUGCGCUCUUGGCAUUGAAAUUCAAGCAGAGAGGGUUGCGUAGGAAUCAUCCAGCCAUGUGUUGGAUUCUAGAGCCAAUCUGUAAGACAGACUUUUUCUUUUUCUUUUUCUUUUUUAUUUCUUUUUUUCUAACAUUCUUGUGUAAUUUUCCGUGCUCUGAUUUAUUUAUUUUGGUCAUUCGAGUCGUAGAGGACACACUCUGAAGCUUUGAAUGCGGCUUGGUUAGGAGAGUAGCAACUGAGGCUAAUGCUACGCUGUGGAUGCUGGUUCUUCGCUUCGAGGUAGGCAGGUUGGUUGUUUGUGGUUCUAGAUUUUUGUUGCAUCUCAUGUGCAUGUUUGAUCCUAUCUCGAGAUGUGUGCAGAUGGAUUUGGUUGCAGUAGAAACUUAACCCUACAGUCUUGGAUUGCAAUUUUGUUUGGGUAUUCGUUAUUUAGUACCAUUUUGUGGAAGGAUUUAGAUUUUGGCAGCGAGACGGGAGGUGGGUUGGUUCUCGUAAUUCUUAUUGUUUCGUUUCGUGUUCCUCUGCUGCUUAGGAUUUAGUGUAUGUAGUAAGUACUCGAAGCGUAUUGAAGUUUCGUUGUGUGUUCAAGUACAAGUUGAUAGGUUGUUACAGGAUUUGUAAAUUGUUUGAGUUUGUUUGUUGUGUUUUAAUAAUUUCAGUGUUUUUUUUGCUUUAUUGUCGACGAAGGAUACUCUCAUUAUCACCACUUCCGCAGAUGAUUAGAUUAGUCAGUGCGUCAUAAUGCUCAGUACAUGGUGGUGGGGUUUCUUGUUUUAUUCAGGAUGUUUGCAGGAAUUUUUGUUUUUCUGGUCUGAGGAAGUUUUGGCAACUGAAAUGAGAAUUUGAAGCUAUAAUCGCUUUGGAGACUUAUCUUUCUAGUGAUGCAUCGAAUGCUUUUGGAGAAGUUAUUCGUUUACAAUACAUGGCUGGAUUCCUGCGGCGAUAUGUUACUUCUUUACAGGUGAAGCCAUUACAUUGACGUGCAUAGACUCGAUGGCUGAUUCGCUAGAAAAAAGUGGUGUGGAGAUCGAGCAUGAAGCAAGGCUUUUUGACAAAGUUACAAGCGAGAAAAUCCCCAAUAGACGACCUGAGGGUGGCUGUGAGGAUGUGACUUGCACGAAUCUCUACAAAGGACCUCAUGUUGACAGUUCGGAGGAAGGAAAUUGUUUUGUUGGAGUGGAGACCGGAAAGUGUAUUUCAGAAGCGCAACUGGUUAAGACCGACACAGAUCAAUUUUCAUGUUCUAUUGCAGAGUUGGAUAUUCCCAAUCAUGGGGGAAAUGCUGCGACGCGAUUGGAGGGAAUAGUUGCACGGGUAGAGGGAAUUGACAGUCAGGGUGUCUCUGUAGUGGCGGGUCCUAUUGGGGACCUUGACUUAGAAGAUGUGUCGUCUGAGUGUUCCCUUCUUCCUGGUAUCAGCUCUCACUGCUUUGGGAACGAUGAAGAACCACGUCGAAGGCAUGAAGUUGAGCACACUGUUGAACAGCUCCACCCUGGUGCUAGGAGCACCAUUUGCCAUCAAAACAUCUGCAAGACGCUCGAAGAUUUCGUGCAUUCCAGUUCGACUUUAGAUACCCAAUCUUGCCAUCGAGGGGUUUCUCAGAAUAGUGAAUUUGGUAUCGGAAUUAGAGAGGGUGCUGUGACAGGGACUGUAACAAAGGAAUUGCUCGACCAGGACUCCUGUGUGCCGCACCCACCAGUCUUCCAAUCUCAACGUACCCUAGCCUCUGACGCUGCAAAUAUUCGUGCAUGUGAGGGAUUUUUGGUUACUGAUGACGAGUCGUCGUUGACUUCCAAUUACCCUCAAUUGGUAGACGUUUUUGUGCGUGACAAAACAGACGCGAGGGUUGGAAAUGAAUUUGCCCUCGAAUUAGGGUUGCAGGAAAGGGCGGACAAUUUUGAUGUGCACGGAGUGUUGGCGAACUACGAAAGCAGUCUCGGGGAUUGUCAAAUUCAUAUUUUGACAGAGCAACACACAGGACCAACCACAUCUAUGGACGAGGUAGUUCGCAUCGAUGAAAAUCUCUCCAAAGAAGUUGAGACUGGGCAGACCGAAGAGAACCAAGCACAAGGAGAGCUCAUAGAAGUCGACAACGACAGCUCAAGCGCUGCUGACAUUGAUGAAAUUGGUAUGCGGCUCUUAAAACUUGAUUUGGCAAAGGACGAGUCGACGUCGUACCGAGUUGAUCAACAAAAACAUCAUUUUGGAAAGGGAACUGGUGGGAACCUUGUAUGUACCCUAACGACAUUCAUCAAUUUCUGCUGGUAUUUAUGUCUAGCAAGUUAUGCGAGACAUUUUUAUCGGUGCCAUUUCUUGCUGUAAGAUGGAGCACGUUCUUCAAAAGAUAAUCUUUGUUGUUAGUUUUUGUCCUUCUGUAUGAUUUUCCUUGUGGUAUAUCCACGAGCGUAACCUGGUGUUGGCUACCAUUCAAUUAGAUGUUGAUGUCCAUAGAAUUCUUAAAAGGCAUGUAUAAUAGGUGCUCCAUUGUUGCGGGUUAUGUCAGUUGCUGCCUUCUGGGUUUGCAUGGGACUUCCGUAAUCAGUUUACUCUGCUGUAAAUCGUAAGCAGUUGAUAUAUGCAACAUCAGUCGAUGCUGUUAAUGCAUGCUAGUGAUCAGUGCAGGGUAAGGAGGAGUCUUACAGUGAAAUUAUGAUUAUGGUUAUGCCAAACAGGCUGGAGUUUUUACACCUUUGCCGCCGAAAGCAGAGACACAAGUAAAGAAUGCUAUGAUGCGUCCUAAAUGGUGAAUUGAACGCUUCCUGUCGAACUGAUAUAGGCCCUGUUCUUUAUGAACAAAAAUUGUGAGCUUGUUUGGAAAUGAUCUUGAUAUCAGCCGAUUUCAGGGUUCUGCUUUGUUUAAAUAUUGCCAUCUGUUUAGCGUGGUUUUGCAUCUUGUUGCUUCUUAUGCCACAACUAUAGGUAAGUUUUUUGUACGUUGACUCCUUAAGCCAUGCUAAUUUUCAAGGGAUAGCUAGGGUUCAUUCUCCCAAUCUUUGACGACAUCACUUCCUUUCAGGAGUACGGUUCUUGUGUUUCACAAGGGCUCCAACAUAGAAGUGACAGGAGAGAUCCUCCAAUGCUUAUUGCCAGGUUCCUGGCUUAAUGACGAAGUAAGCAAAUGCUCUUUCCUGAAAACCACUUAAAGUUCAUAUUUUUACAGCUUGGUUGUUCCGAAAAGACACGAAGUUGCUCAUCUUGAGUUGUCUCAUCAUGCACAAAAGUGUUUCUUUGACAAGUACUUGUUUGAUUGAUUAUUCUUUCUUGGUCUUGAGAGCUGUAGAAGGGUUUGGUUUUGCAUUUUUUUUUGUCUUCAUCCCAAAUCUCGUGUCUUGCAAAUUAUUUAGUAUCCUUACCUAAUAUCCUUAUCACUAUGUAGGAACAUCUGAUGAUUGAUAUUGCCUGUGCAGGUUAUUAAUGUGUAUAUGGAGUUGCUGAAAGAACGUGAGUCGAGGGAGCCAGAGAAGUUCUUAAAAUGUCAUUUUUUCAAUUCGUUUUUCUAUAAUAAGGUACAGGUCCAUACUCAGCCUUUUCAGAGAUCUCUACUUUGAGGUGACUGUAAAAUGAAAUAGUAAAAAAUGAUUCUUCUAACGAACAUCAACUAGAUUGUGAAUGCAAAUAGUUCAAUCGGCAGUGCUCAAUUAUGAUUUUCUGUUGGUCAACAGUUGUAAGGUCAAUCACUUAAAUGGUACUGUUUGUAUAAUAAAUUUUUAAACAGGACUGGACAUCUAAUUUAGACUUAAUGGCAGCUUUUCAAGGAUGCUCAGAGUUAUGACUACCAAGCCGUUCGGAGGUGGACUACGCAGAAAAAGCUCGGUUACAACCUUCUGGAAUGUGACAAGGUUAUUGUCACACUGAAGGCUCAUGUAGCUGUUCUCUUUUGUUGAAAUUCAUUUCUACUGGCUUUUUUACAUCAGCCGAAAUAUUCUGUGGAGGUUUAGAUUUGCAGUUGUCCUGGAUGAUGAAGAUGACUUUGUUGAAUUUACUGAUCGUCUGCCUAAAUGUGAUCUUCGUUUGUGAUAAAAGAAAUUUUGGUUUGCCAGAUCUUGGUACCUGUCCAUCAGAGCGUGCACUGGUGUUUAGGGGUAAUUGAUUUGCGAAGGCAAAAACUGCUGUACUUAGAUUCCCUUCAAGGGAGAGAUCCGAAUGUUCUAAAUUCACUUGUAAGUUCACUACAUCCUCUUUGAUCCUACAGCUAGUUCAGGUUCAUUGCAAGUCAGUAAUCAUGAGAUGAUUUUGCCAAAGUUACAAUGCAUCAGUGUAAGGAUAAUACUUGUUUUCCUUUUGGAACUUUAUUGCCUUCCAACUCUGCUACUUGCUAACUUGGAUUUGUAGUGUUCGAUGUUCGAGCGUGUUGGCAUGGAACCUUUGGAAUGAAAACUUGUACUGUGCACAAGCUGACUUGAUGACAAUUGCAUUGGUCUUAGGCUCGAUACAUUGUGGAUGAGGCACGAGAAAGGGGAGGUCAGGACUUGGAUGUCAGCAAGUGGGAGCAUGUCUAUGUUGAUGAUAUUCCCAGACAACUCAAUGGGUACAUGUGUAUUUCCCCAUAUUAAGAGUAGCAAGUUUUUAUUUAGACCAAAAACCUUAUCAUUGAAUAGUGUUUCGUACAUCGUCUUUAUAUGUCCUCUUUGUCAUUAAGGUUGUUGCGGCUGGGUUUGUUUGUUGUCUUGCAGGUGCGACUGUGGCAUGUUCAUGUUGAAAUAUGCUGAUUUUCACAGCCGUGGGGCCUCGUUAAGCUUCACUCAAGUGAGAUUCUGUCUGCUUUUUUCCAUCUUCAUUUGAAACUUAGAAUCGCAUAUAAUAAGUCGGCCCAGUUUGUGAAUUCGCGAAGUGGGAUGCAGCUCAUGAUCUGACUCGGGGUUAUUUCAGAACUGAAAAAGCCAAUGCCGAAGUGUCAUAUUAUCAUAUUCACCAGCUAUUAGUAGAAUAUUCUGACGGGUCAUUCAUUUCAUGUUCCCAGUCCAGUAUGAAUUACUUUCGGAGGAGGACGGCCUGGGAGAUUCUUCAAUUGAAAGCGACGUAGUCAUCCAAACGUCAAUCUAGUGUACAUGUCAAUUAAAAUUAACAAUAACGUUGGUCGUCUUCUUUGGAACUGAAAAGGUGAGCAAUAUGGUUGGCUUCAUGUAGUUCGGAGCAGUGGCUACUACUGCAUUAGAUUAUGCAAUGCUUGUGGUUUCACAUUUUGCAUUUGGUUCCUUAAGUACAAAACAAUUAUUUUCCAUUGGCAUAUAGGUGCUAUCUCAUUGUGUUUAUUUGUACUGCAGAGCUCCGUGCGUUCAGAUUGAGAGUGGUUUGUAUUUCUGUAAUCAAUUAUUUGAGCCAACUCUUUCGUGAGGCGCCUUUAGUGACAUAAGGCACUGUUUCCAGAAACUUGAAAAACAAACAUCUUCAGAGGCGUUUUAUUCAGUAAUCGUCCACUUUGACUAAAUUACAUUCCGUUUUAUUUUUCUGCUUUCCGAUUGCCUCAUGAUUCGGCCAAUGCAACUACCUACAGACUUUUGACGAUGUUAUUCCAGGUCUCCGAUGUUUCAGAGCAUCGACAUACACCAAUUCGGCAUAUUCUAGGCCUGCAAUUCUCUGCUAGUAAAUAUCUGUUGGGAUUUUGAAUUUUUGAUGGUAGGGAUGGCUCUGAAGGUACGAUUUCUGCAACCCUCUGGAACAUGCACCGGACAUCUUUCUCCUGAGCAGAACGUGUUGUAUGCCGCUUCACCUUUACACUCUGAUAGUAUUCCUUUGAUGUGCUCUUCUAGAAUCGAAAACAUGUUGACAGGGUGAAGCUAUAAUUUUAGUUAAAUCUCCUUGUUUCGCCUAACUAGCUGGUGUUAAUGACCAUUCCGGUAAACAAUACCACCAGAAAAGGAGUGUUCGUGUUACGAUACACAGCUGUCCUUUCAUGCAUUGUAGCGAAUCGAUUGAUUGUUACCUUUGUUGUUCAAUGAACGUCAGGAAUAGGAGAUGUUAUAGCCGGCAUAUGUGCCGGUGUUGUUCAACUUUUUUAGAGCUUAAUUUCAAGUAGAAUAUACUUAGUGUGCCAUUUUGUUGAUUUCCAAGAAUAAACCCAUUUCCAAGGCAUUCUGUCACAAACACCAUCCCAUCUAGAUGUGUUCUUGACUUGUGCACAGUAGGAGCUAACUUUCAACCACACUCGUCACUGCUUAGACUGGCAUCCCAUGAGUAACUAAAUUUCAAUUUGAAGGGCAAAGUAUACUUGGACAUUGGAUAGAUGCAUGAACUCUGCUCUUUUUCUCGACUACAAUCACAGUCCGCAAUAGAAGUUGGCGUGAUAAAAGAUAUCUGCUUCGACAAUUUGCAUAUCCAAUGUCAAAAUGAGAACCCUUUUGCUUAACUAAGCAUCUCAUGGAAUGAUGGACCUAGCUGGCAGUUGUUUUCUAUGACCGAUCUAACCCAACUCACUGUGCUUCACGAACUAUAUGUUUCCAAAAAUGUACAAGUUUGACGUCCAGGGGAUCCUUCAAUCUCCAGCAAACGCCAGCCCUAUUCCUUGCCUUGGAACAUGCGUGGAGAACUUCAGUAUUGCUGCGGGACUCACGAUAGAUCAGAGAGCAACCUCAUGAGGCUGCAAACUCUUCGAUUGCAUGACUACCUGCAGGUGGAUACGAUUCCAAUCGUUCCAAUCACACUUGUUGGAAUGUUGUACUCACCCAGAGCAGUAGUCGUCGGAGGUGGGAUUUGCGUUAUUAGCCUGUACGCAGGGAGUGUCCAGGUUCCUCCAUUAUGGGCUACGGCGACUGGAUUCAGCGGCCUGAUGAUUUGUAGAGGUGGACGGCCCCGAGACUUCGCCAGACUCUACCGUGGUGAUAGUUAUUGACUCGCUUUCACUCCCUUCAAUCGCGUCAUCAAUCACCGUCGCUUUUGGUGGCACUGUCGCGCUUUGCAUGCCGGUGCCUUUUGAACUCUGUGUAGCUCCCACGUCUUGGUUCAUUGGGAGCUGGUUGGAGGCGUCAUCAGAUUGAACGUUCAAGUGAUACACGACCUGGUUGCCCGCACGCACGCUCUCGCUAGCGCUGGCGGAGGAACCCAAGCUCCUCUGGGUCAUGGGGGCUUUGCCUAACCGGUGUUGCCUCACAUCCGCAGGAUCAUCCUCAUGACUAGGGGGCAGGGAGCUAGAGCUUGGACCGCUAGGGUCAUGGAACGAGUGGCUGGGUAACGAGCUGGGCUGACCCAUGUCACGGGGCUGGCUCGUAGAAGCACCGCCAAUUUCCAUCGGGUGUGCUCCAGCCGAUUGGGAUGGCUGAAACGAACCCUCAGAAGAUCGACCUACAGAUUGUGGAUCGAUAACGAGAGCGUCGCUACGCGUCCUGACCAGUCGAGCGCGCCUUCUAAUGGAGGAAACAGAUGGUGGGAUCAAAUUGAGGGUGGCUCUGCUUUGCAUGUGAGUGGAAUCGUCCCGGGAGGUUGGAGACGCUGCUGGUCGCUGCACAACAUACCGAAUCUGCUGUAGCACUUCAUUCGAAUGAGUGAGACGGAAUACUAACUCUGCACACCAGAUCGCGGAGGACGAUAAGUAAAGGGCAUUGGUCAAGUUUACGCAAGAUCUUCAUGACAGGACGCGAAGGGAGACCAUGAAGUUAUAUUUUUGAUGGUCAUCUCGUUGAAUCGAUUCUUGGCCCACACCAUGGAACGAGAUCGGCCCAGGGAUCUCUGACCUACCUGAGAGCAUUGGAUUUGGAGCGGUAAACUGGGGCCAGCCGAAGACCCACCGCAUUGUCCCGGCUGAAGCACACCCUGUCGAAAUUCAGGUUGCAUGCCACCCCGUUGUAACGAGGGAUCCAGUGGGACGAACCCAGGCACGUUGGCGUUGGGAUUAUAUCCAGGGGCUCGCCACCUGAGGUGAUGGAGGUUGCUACGGGAGGUGGUGGAAGCGAGGUGGUAAUGGGGAGGCGAAGGCUGCGGGAUCAUGGGUCGCAUGGUCGGGCUGAUUGGUUGCCACGCCUCGUUGUAAGAGAAUUGUGGUGGGAUCAGGGGUCGUGGUGCGUCUAGCCGAGGAAGUGUCAUCAAUACAGUGUUAGAACUUCUCACCGCUGUUGUUGGGUCUACAAUUUGCCACCCCGCUGACCUCCUGCGAGAGAAGGAACCCCGACGAAGGAAAAUCAGUUCCAACAUGCAUACUGAGAUUCUGUGAGUGUUCCAAGUUAUUCAUGGAAAGAGACGACAGCGAAUCUCACAAGCAAAGAACCUGUCGAUGUUCUUACAGUCUCAUCUCAUGCCUAUGCGCAUGUGCGUUCAAUAGUAGUUGUGCUUGCUCAUAUUCAUCCUCUUUCCUCUCUGAUGACGGCAAAUCGUGGGACAACAAAAUUAAUGAGAAGUCUUACGGGAGAUGGAUUUCCGAAACGCUGAGGAAUUGAAGGCAGUAUCCAAGCAAAAUCAGAAAAUUGGGGGUCCCUUAAACCUCUCCAAUUCCUUAUUUUUGGACGAUCUACUAUGAUUCUGUAAUUUAUUUUAAAGCUCUUUUCUCGUUGCUUAAAUCCAAAUACUCAUGAACUCUGCAAUGUGAACGAAUCAGGAAAAUUCUUGGUAGAACUUGGACCAUGAAAAUUAAUCCAAAUAAAGUUGCGAAGCAAUUUAUAAAGAGUGUCACAAAAAUCUUCACCUAGACGGUGCGUAUUCAUGUGACCACCAAGCGCUUGAGGCACUGAGAACUGCUUGUGACAGUACUUGCACUCAAAUUGUGGCUUCGACGUAACGCCAUCCUCGUCCGACACGUAGCCAUAAUCUGGGGGCCCUCGUUUCCUCGUCGAGGCUGUGUCAUCUGCUUGAGAACCAAACAACCCCUCGAAAAUCAGCAAUGUAUUCGACACGAACCACCAUUGAAUCACUGACCACAGAAUUCCGCAACAUGCGGAGCGUCACAUUCUGUACCCAAGCACACUCUGGAGCCGCUCAUUCAUUCUCAUUCACUCAGGAUACGGGAAAAGGGUCGAAGGGAGCCCCGACCGAGGAAGGCGAGCCCGGACUCCUACUGAGUGAUCACCCUCGCAAACAGUAGCAGGUAGAAGAAAUGAGAGAGAUAGGCACAGCCGAUGAUUCAGCUGGGACAGCAAGGCAACCACGACAGAAGAAACCCCGCGACUCCACUCAUCCUCAUUCGAAAGUCACGACACAACGCGACGAUCUCGCAGAAGAGGCUGCUUGCUGCUAGUCCGAGGGAGGAUCGAAGAAGUCAUGUGUGGGCAAGGACCAGGUGAAGGCACGACAAAAUGCAGGGAAAGGGUCCCAGAGAGUACGCACCUUCUGGGGCUUCUUCCAUGUGCGAAAGCGGACAAAGUGCAGGGAGAUGGUGGCGCACUUGGAUGGAGAGAGAGAAAGAGAGUUGUGCGAUGCGAUGCGAUGCAAUGCGAGGUUCGGUGCUACAACUACACUACAUCACUCUCGCAUUGCAACAGCGAUGGUCGGAGCAAAAUAAUAGUGUGAGUGUGUGUGUCUGGGAAAGGGGGACGCCCCUCCUCGCACUCGUGGUGUCCUUCGGAGAGGUUCCUCCUCCAAUUCCUCUUUCCUUUUCCUUUUUCUUGUUCUGCUUUUACUUUUCCUCAUGAAAGCAUACUGUUCCCUCAUGUUGCACUUUUGUGUGUGCCUAAUAUAUUAUACUACAAUGCAAAGGAUGUUUCUUAUGCUCUUUAAAAACCAUUAGUUCAUGUAAUAGUGUGUGUAAGUUCACUGAUUCAUUUUAUUUGUUUAAAUUUGUAUAUGCAAAAAGUUUAGCAUUAGUGGUGAUACUGUAAUAUUUUUCUGAAAGUUUCAUCCACUGUAGGAAUUCUUUCAGGUGAAAGACCUAGUCAUCUAAUAGUUGAAUAGCUGAGGUCGUGAGAUGGAAUUUUUUAAAAACAUUAUUAAUUAUUAAUUAUUUUGUAAAAUGAUUAUAUACUAUAAUAAUCUAUAAAUAUCUGAUAUGUAAAAUUUAAAUUAUCUUGUUAUUAAGACCAAAUCAAAUAUUAAUGAUUUUCAACUAUUGUAGUUCUAUUUUAAUGGGUCAAAUAUAAUUCGAUUAAUGAGAAUGGAAAUUCAAUUUUUAUGCAUAAUAUAUGAAGAAAUAUUAUAUACUAUAACUAAACGUAUUUGUUAUUCUUUUAACAAAAUAGUUUUAUUGCUUGUUUGAUUUAAGUUUCUACUAAUACCAACAUUUUUUUCUUUUAUUUUUAAUAUUAUUAUAGAUAAUAUAAAAUAUAUUAAACAUUUAGAAUUCUAUUAAAUAUGUAAAAUGGUUAAUUUUAAAUUGUAUUAAAAAUAUAUACAUAAUAGUAUUUUGAAAAAUAAUACUUUUGUUAUUUGGAAUAAAGUAAUAAUGUAACAAUGUUGUUGUUUAGACUUUUUUAAUAAUACACUUCAAGAUAUACAAAUAUACACAUAAAUAAGAAUAUUUUUAUUUUAGUAGAAUUACUACUACUUGUUAUAGAUAUUUUUAAUAUAUACUUUCUAUGAUUAUUAGAAGACAAUGAGCACAUUUAAUUUUUGUUAUUUUAUAUUCAAAAUUUAAAAAUAAAUAUAAUUAUAUCUAUUUAUUUUAAAUUAAAGAAGUUAUUAAAGCCACAUUCCCAUUUUAUUGAAGCCUCACCUCCCUUGUCAUCUCAUAAUUGAUUUGGUCUAUCUCUAAUAUCCAACCUUCUUCUAUCCUUGUUCACUAUUUCCAAUCUUCAAUUCCUAGCCCAUAUUCCCCCUUCCUUGUUUCUUGUCCUUUGUCCCUUGUUCCCAAUCUCAUAUUCUAUGUCCCCCCCCCCCCUCCCACCUUCUUUCUUAUCCUCCUUCUUAAUGCAUGUCCCCUAUUCCUAUUAUAUUGAAAAUGAUAUACAAAAUUUAAAGCAAUUCAUAUCUCUUACUUAGAAAACCAAUCCUAAAGUCCAAAGCCUUCAACUAUAGAUUUUACACACAAUGUCUAUUUCAAAAGACUUGUACAUUUUAAAUUUUAGCUGGAAAAUUUUAGAUACUACAAGUACAUACAAUACAAUCAAAUAAUCCAAUAAUGUUUAAAUUAAAACAAGAUGUAUUAUCUUUUGAUUGCAAUUAGAAGAUUAUAAUGUAAGAUCAAUAAUUUUAGUUAUAUAUAUUUAUAUUUAAAGACCAAUUUUGUUCAAGAUUAUUUUUGCCAUUCACAAUGAUAAGGAAUGUAGGCAAGAGCAAAAGACUAGAAAUAGAUGGUGGAGGCUAGGAAUGGGAGAUAGGGAAGGGGGACAAGGCUAGGGAACUAUGAUAGAAAAAGGGGACAAGAGAUAGGGGGUGGAAACAAGAGAUUAGUGACAUGAAAUGGGCAUGGGAGGUUGGAUUAAAGAUAGAGAAUAAAGGAUAGAUUGAAUUAAUCAUGAAAUGACAAGGACAAUGUUGUAUUAAUAAUUCCCUAAAUAAAUCGUAUAUAUGUUCAAAUAUAUAGAAUUUAUCAAUUUGCAACAAAUUUCUCAAAGGUAAAUUAAAUAAAGAAAUUUAAUGAAAAUUAGAUAUUUAAAAUUUCUAAAAUUAUUUUUUAAUUUUAUUUUUAUAAUUAAAAUUUAGAGAUAUUUUGUGCAUAAUUGAUCCAUUAGAAGAAUAUUUUUAUUUAUUUAUUUAUCUAAUUUUACCAAGUAGUGGAAAUGUGGAUUCCACUUUCAAGGCUAUGAUCAAAACAUUAUAUCUAUUUUUAGAAUAGAAAUUCUUCAUAUAUUUCUCAGAGACUUGCCUAUUUAUUUGAGUGCAAUAAUAACUAUACAAAAUAACAAUGAUAAUAGUAAAAUUUCUCAAUAUGCUAAAGUCCAAUGAAUAUUUCUCAAAAUUGGAAUUCAAAGUUAAUACACUAUCUCAUCACUAAAAUAAAUAAACACACACUGUUCUAUGUCAAGAUUGCUAUAUGCCAAUGUUGCUCUUUGCAGUAGUUCUUGUUUGGUGGUUACAAGACACAAAUCAUUUAUUACCAAAACAAAUCCAUCAACAUGAAAUCUUAAACAACAAUCAAAAUUUCUUUAAACAAGACUAUCAUCUCCAUCUACAGCCAUAAUAAGUCCUUUAAAUCCCAACAACCAUCCAUAAAUCUCAAGUCCUUGAAAUUGCGAAACACAAAAAUAUACGUGAUACCAAUCAAACUUGGAGAGAGAUUGCUGAGAAUCCAAUGCACCCCACCCCACUGCCAGAGAAGGGAAACUCCCACCCCCCCCCCCCCCCCCCCCGUCGCCGCAUUGACAUUCAUUCGACUUCCCUCCUCCUCCUUUUUUGUACAGUUGAGCAUCCUUUUUGGCGAGAUAUGUCCUUUUUGGGGAGGCGUGCAGGGGACGACGAUGAUUUGGGUGGCGAUGGUGGCGGUGUUGCAUUAGGAAUCGGUAGUUCGGUUGGGGGAUUGUGAUUGUGGCCAGUGAGAGUGAGUGAGUGAGUGAGAGAGAGUGAGUGAGUGAGAGAGUGAGAGUUAGUGAGAGCGGGCGGGGAAUCAUCGCUAGCGGGGAAGGGAGCGAGGGAGAGAGAGAGAGCGAGCGAGGAAGGCAACAUGGAGUUGUCGACCCUGCCCUCUCUGCAUUUCUCCCGCAGUAUUUGCACUGCUGAGGUGCGGCAGCCAGGUUGUUGUGGAAUUGGCUCCGGUUUCGCAACGGCAGCGUCUCGGAUUGAGCCCAGGCUGGGAGGUGGAGCUGCAGUAUUGCGGCGAGCUAGCCAUGGCUAUGGCGUGGGAUGUGAAUUUUCUAUACCACGCUUCGUGUUGGGGUCAUUAGAUCAUAAGUUGGGUGAAAAGCUGUUGCGUAGGGCUGUGAGAAGCGGAGCGUCGGGUUUGAGGAAUCGACGGGAAUGGAGAUGUAUGAACGCGGAAUUUGGAGCUGAUGCCAGCAACGCGGGUUCGCCAGGAUCUGUGCAUUUUGUUGGUAUUGGAGGAGCGGGGCUUUCAGCACUUGGUCUUCUUGCACUGCGACAGGUUCGUUGCUUGGUUUUAGGUACUCUUUGAAAGGGACAGUUGGAAAACCUCUAGCCCAGUGUAAAAAAAUAAUAACAAAUCAGGAGGAAAAUUCGAAGAGAAUUGGAAAUUUUUGUGUGUUUCUGGAUUAUCAAGACGGCAGGAAGAUGAACACAGAGUUUUUGUUUUUGCUUUGUCCGUUGGUAGGUAAUAGCAUUUCUCUAGACGAUUGAACGUCUCAUUUCUAAUCCAUUCCAUUCAAGUUUGAAGUUUGCUUGUGCUUUUGACCAGCAAUUCGAUUCUUUUAUGUUCUUUUAAUCAACGAUUCGGCUCAUGGGUGGGAGGUUGUGAUUGUGGUGCGGAUGUUGGGAAUCUGCUCAUGUAACUUUCAUGGAAGAGUAGUUUGGCAUUGUGUGCUGGCCUCUGUGGAAUUGCGCUACAUUAGACAUGAGAAUCGACUCCUGACAAUUUUAUUGUAGGGUUGGCAAGUAAGUGGGUCCGACUUGGUAUGGAGCGAGGAAGUUAUCCGGUUGAAAGAGGCUGGUGCCCGUGCAUAUGUUGGCCACAGUGUGGCUCAACUGGUGCCUCAAGGGUCGCAGCCGCCGGAUGCUGUUGUUGUAUCCAGUGCCGUGGGUCCAGGCAACGAGGAGGUUGAGGCUGCUCGUGCCCUAAAUGUGCCCAUGUGAGCCUUUGUCACUCCCCCCACGUAUUCUUGCUUGGGCUCUCACACCCUUUCCAAGUUAUUUUUGCUUUUAAACGGCUUGAAAUUUUCAAUCAGGAUUAUGCCGUCUUACUGGAAGAAUUUUGGAACGGCCUCAUGCAAAUGAUUCAGAAAGUGGUUGGCAUUUUCCUUACGCUGGGCGUUCUUGCAGUUACAAGAGGGGUGAUUGGCUAGGGAAGAUUACAGAAGGCUACCAACUGAUAGCCGUUGCUGGAACUCACGGUAAUUGUACAUCUUUCUUUUCUCUCCGCUGCCAGUGUAGUUUUUAAAAUUUCCUCUUUCUUUCAUUUUCCUACAUUGCUGCCACCAACUGCGACUCUCAAGCAGUGGUGGUUGAGAAGGCAAACUGAUACGGUAUCUUCAUUUUAGAUGUUGAUUCUGGUUGGUGCAGGUAAGACCACGACGACAGCAAUGUUAAGUGUGGUCCUGCGCAACUUAGGGGAGGACAUUACUGCUAUUGUGGGUGCUCAAGUUCCACAGGUAUUCAAUUGAACCAUUCUCAAGCAUUGUUACAAAUGUACUCAUCUUUGUAAAAAGAAUUAGUCCAAAAAUGAACCCUGAAAUUGUACUCUUACUUUUGGAAGAUUCAAGUGGACGAUAAGAGCAUUAUUGAAGAUCUGCUCACCCAUACUGGUUUCAUAAUGAGUCUAAUGUCAUUUAGAAUUAUAAUCAACACAGCCUUUCGAAUCACCUUCCUUCCCAUUUCUACAUCAGUGUUGUUCUGGUUCUUUUUACGCUUUUUAUUGGUCUUAGAAGACCUACAUCCUGCUCUGAAGAGCUUGAGCCUCACUUACGUCUGUUAGUUUGAUGUGAUUUUUUUGUCUAAUGCUUCGAUUCUAUAGUAAAAUUAUUGGACAGUUGUCUUUAGCUCACAUAUCGCAAAACUUGGAGUUGUUAGAAUUGUCUGAGUCGGUCCAUAUUGUGAAGAUUUUUUUUCUUAUUGUGUUGCUAAGGCAAUAGGGGAUGAAAGUUAAUGAUAAACACUGCACGUUUCCAGUGCGUCUGAGUUGGUUCGAUUGAAUGCAGUUUCCAGAUGGAGGCAGUGCAUUGUGUGGAACGACUCGCAAGUUUGUUUUAGAGGUGCGCUCGAAUCAUCUUUAAACUUACAGGCAUUUUGUCUGCCUGCUCUCGCUGAAUGUGAGACAAACUUUUUAGGAGAUCUAUGUUUACGAUCAUUUGUUUCGUUUUGUUACUAUAUGUCAAUUCAUUCGAUAUUGAUUGUAGAAGCCAAGGAUCUUGAAUGGCAUAAAGUUUCCGCAUUCCCUCGAUUCUAUUUCAUUGAAAAUUGGGGUAGAUGUGGUCGAACGUAGAGUCAAGUGAGGCCUGUGUUGUGGUUCCACAAGUUUUCAGAAGUAAGUACUGCCAUUAGAUUACACUUCUGUUUGAAGCUACGAAAGUCUGCACAUGUUUUUCAUGUUUUUCACCUAAAUUGUUGUCACGACGCAGGCCGAUGAGUAUGAUGGCUGCUUCCUAGGUGUUUCACCUCACCUCGCAGUAUUGACGAAUGUUGAAUGGGAACACGUCGACAUGUUUCCUGAUGAGGUGGUCUUCGCCUCGUGAGUGUGAUUUUUCCUAUUGUGACAGACCGUUUUGAGAGCACCACUUCGUAAUUUGUUAAGUAUGAACAGAGAGGAUGUCUUUUGAAUGUGACGCCUAGUAUAGAUCUAUUUGAUCAGCCGCUUAUCGUGUCUAUGGAAAACAUAUUACAGGAAGCUGUCAAAAAUAUGUUCAAGAAGUUCGUCUUGCAAAUCAAGCCAGGAGGUUGUCUUGUUGCUUGUGGCGACAGGUGAGGUUUGUUCAUGCUCAUGCUAUUUUAUCCAGUCAAACCUUAGUUAUUUACAGCGUUUCCUGUGUUUUUUUUAUGAUAAGGUUAUAUAAAUGCAUCCCCUGUCCUCUCUUUUAUAUCUUGUUGCAAAACUGAGCAUUACAUCUUCGACAUUGCAGUGCCGGUGCUAAAUCCGUGUUAGGACUGAUAGAAGAGGAGCAAGAGAAAGAUUUAGGUUCUCCAUUCCCCAGAGAGAGACGGGUUGUAACUUUUGGUUUAGGAGCGAGCGAUUGGCGAGCGAUAAUGCUUGUCCCAAAUCCACAGGGUGGAACUGAUUAUACGGUUGUGAGUAUUUGUGUUCUUCAAAUUAAUACUGAGGAUCCGAGUAUUCAGGGGGUUGCAAAUACAUAAAUCAAUUUCUAUUUCGGACUUCUCUUUUUAACACCCUGGUUCUAGUAGGUAAAUGAAUCUAGCAAUACAAGAUGACGCGGGAUUAAACUUUUGAAAACACUUGCUGCCGUGGUGUUUGGUAACAGGUAUACAAGAACAGGCCCAUGACUCGAGUCAGUUUACGCUUGCCUGGCAUGUACAAUGUGCUCAAUUCUCUCGCUGUAAGUACAGUACAUUCAUUACCUGCGCAGAAAACGCUGGUAUAAGUUACCUCUGCAAUGCUAUCAAGAGUUCAGAAGUUGAAACUGCUGCUUUUUGAGAGUAAAUUGAGUGAUUGGUGGUGAUCAAGAUUGGCAGGUCAUUGUGGUUAUGUCGCUGCUGGCAGCAGAGAAGGAAAGCGACGUUGGGGCACAGGCAAAACUCAUGAAGAGGACCGCCGAGGCCGCAGGAAGAGCUCUAGGAGCUUUUUCGGGAGUACGCAGACGCUUUGAUUUUGUAGGAUCUGUUCAUGGAUGUCAUAUAAUCGACGACUAUGCCCAUCAUCCAACUGAGGUUCGUGCUGUUCUACAAGCAGCUCGUCAACGAUAUGAUCAGCAGCCCAUCUGGGUGAUAUUUCAACCUCAUACGGUUAGGUAGGUACUUAGUUCCUGAAACUUGAAUGUUUUUCACUUUUUUGAAGACUCCGUUAAUAACAUCUUUUGUUGAUUUUUGUUGUCACAGCCGGUUGGCUGCAUUUCUACCAGACUUUGCUCCGGCUUUUAGUGCUGCAGAUCGAGUUAUUGUGACACAGGUAGGGUAUCAUACUUUCUUUUUCCUACCUUUGAAGUUUGGUGUCUUUGCAAUUUAUCCAAUGUUCAUUCUAAAAUGGAUUAAAUUGCCGUUUCCUCAUUCAUUUGCCUUUCCCCUAUAUCACUACAUUAAGAUGGACCGACUAUGAGUGAUUAUCCUGUUUUAAUUUUUGUCUGAAAUAGGGUGUAGAACUUCUAACUUCUCAAGGUACGAUUCAUCAGAAACUUUUGUAUGACUGGGAAUGGAGCUUCUUGGCGUUUACCCUUCCAACUGUGAACCAAAGAGCUAAACGUCGAUGAAACUGCAGGUGUAUGCUGCUCGCAACAUUCCAACUGAGAAGGUUGUAACUGGGGAAGAUUUAGCCAAUGCCAUUAUUGGGCCUCCAGCCGUCUAUAUUCCAGACUUGGUAAAGUCUACUCUAGCCAUUCUUUGCAUGAAAUGUAUCGCUUUCAAUUCGAUUUAUUCUCGAUGCUCCAUUCUAUCCUGCUCCUUUCUUUCAAUGUGAUGCACAAGAUGUUUGGUAUUUUAAACCAUCUUGAGAAAGUUCAAACUGGCUUUCUGCUCUACGACAGGAUGUUGUAGUUGAGCGGCUAUCGUGGGAACUGGCAGCCCUAGAUAAGAAUGAGAUGAAUGACCGCGGCAACAUUGUGUUGCUUACUCUUGGUGCUGGUGCGUUUAAUCAGUGUUGACGUGUCGUAAAUUCUAUGCUUAUUUUACUCUAUUUUACUCCAGUAUGAAUGGUUUGGGUUGCUGCAUAUAAAUAGUUUCCUCAUCAGUCAAGUUACUUUACCUACCGUAUAAUCAAUGAAUUAUCGUUUGUCUACACUUGCAGGUGAUAUUACCGACGUGGGUCGACGACUCAUGCAGGCAUGUGAAGUCGCAUCACGAUAGAACUUUACUUCGAAAACCCAAAUUUUACUCUGCAUCGAUUCCUGAGCGUAGGCAGCUUUAUGUUGGUGGUAUGAGUCUGUUGGUUUCUUCGCUGGCUCACACUCAUCACAUGAUUUUAUUUCUUAUGUAAUUUGUUCCUGUGGUUAUAACUUAAAGAUAGCCCUUGCAACAAAAGAUGCUUUCACAGUGCCAGUGAGAAUCAUUUCUUUGUGGCAUGGUUCAGUUAUUGACUUGUUUCCAUCUGUGCACUUUUGUUUGUUGGGAUCUAAAUUCCAUAUCAGAAGACUUAUCCCCCUUCAUUCUGCGUUGUUUUUAAUUUUUCUGAUUGGACCUCGGAUCAUCUCGAUAUAGACAUGAGAUUCCAUUUUAAAAUAUAUGAAUUUAGAUCCAAGGCACAUCCCAAGCAUGAGUUUUUGCUGUAGGUCAAAGAGAUUUGUCACUUCGCCUUAUGCAUGAUUUUCCAAACAUACAAAAUAUUUGAACAUGAAUCUAAACUUCUGUUAGCAAGGAUUGUCGUUGCCAUCUUUGAGGUCAUGCUUACUUUGAGCCUCGUCGUUAGACCUUCCAGGUGGUAGGAUUAAAAUGCGGGUGGUGUGGAACAUUCAGAUGACGUUGACGGUCAUUUCCAAUUGUCUUUUUAGUAUCGAACCUAGCUUCAACUUUCCUUCAAUUGGCGCAAUCGUUCUUUUGUUUUCAUGUUUAUUUUAGAGGUUGUAGAAGGCUUGCUUUGAGUUUUUCUGCUAACGCUGUUUAAAAGAAAACUGUUCGACCUGGGAGGGUCCUCGCCACACCACGGCAUCAAUCAAUCAACAUUGGUACAUGCAGUUUGAGAUUCUCUUUGAUGUACUAUUAGGAGCUCCAUCGGCAUUUGUAGGUGUGGAAAAUUCACUAAAUUUAAUUCGAAGUAAGCAUUUGUACGCAUCUGGUGUUGCCAUUUCCGGGUUCUACGUUACGUUUUCAAAUUUUGAGAAGCCGCUGUGACGCGGUGGUUGGAGAGAACUUUCUGCUUGGAAGGGUGCUGCAUGAUAUUCCCAGUCUGGGGCUCCAGUAUAUGACUCGAACUAAAUUUGAGGUUCUGCUGGAUAGUCAAUGUCCUUUCUUUCCUCCUUAUUUUUCCGAUCCAGUAAUUCUAAGACACAAUUCUUGGAUGAAAUCCAACAGGUUACAUGUAAACUGAGUUUUGCUUCCGACAAUCUUCGUGCAGUAGCUUAAGGACAGCAGUGGCUAUCAACCAUGGAAGCCGAGAAUAAACCAGUCCUAGUGGACAAAACCACCAAUGGCAUUGCUAUUAUCACUCUCAACAGGCCGCAUGCACUCAACGCCCUCACGCCUGAUAUGCUUGUAAAGCUGGCAUUCACUUUCACUCGAUUGGAUGAAGACCCAACUGUCAAAGUGAUCAUUCUCACAGGCGCUGGGAGAGCUUUCUCUGCUGGAGUGGUAACCUUCUUGACCUCCUUCUCAUUAAGUCCUCAAAAUAUAAAUAAACAAAUAAAUAAUUUCAGGGUUAGCAGAGGUACAUUGCCGGCAGACUGGAGAUCGGAGAGUGCACUUGAUGCCAGAAUCUUUGACCCCCUGCGGAAUUUUACCACAUGAAUAAUGAAUGGUUAGUUGCUUAAUAUGGUUUAUUCUAUUAAGUUUCAGGUUUCUUUGGCAGGAUUUAACAGCAGCUUCAGAUGUUUUCAAGGGUGAUUUCGAGAUCGAGGCCACCGACACUUUGGUUCAAAUGCAAAAGUGUCGGAAGCCCAUAAUUGGUGCCAUAAACGGCUACUGCAUUACAGCUGGCUUCGAAAUUGCGCUUGCAUGUGAUGUUUUGGUUGCCAGUACUGCUACAAAAUUCAUCGACACUCAUGCCAAGUAAGUACUCAACACACCCCAACAAGGGUUUUCUUGAUGUACUUGUGCAACCCUUCAAGCAUUUCGAAUCCUGAGACUUCUUCUAUACAUUCCCAAAAUUAAAAGAUACAUCGGAUGCUUCAUUCUCAUACUUGACAGAUCAUGGUUCUUCUGAGCAGAUUUGGAAUAUUUCCAUCAUGGGGGUUGUCACAGAGAUUGCAACGCACAGUAGGUCCCUACCGAGCACGGGAAGUUUCGUUAACGGCCACGCCUGUAGAAGCACACACAGCGGAGAGAUGGGGACUAGUGAACCGUGUGGUUGCUCCCUCGGAGCUCAUGCGGACAGCGAUAACUAUUGCAGAAGCCAUUCUCAAGAACAAUGAAGGCCUUGUGGUGAAAUAUAAGACCGUCAUCAAUGACGGCUUCAAACUUCCUCUUGGAGAAGCACUGAAGCUCGAGCAGGUAUCUUCACCACCACGUCUUGUAAAGGUUUGGAAGUAUGAAAUAAAACUUGUUGCAAAAAGUCAAAGUCACGUUUUCUUUUUGAAAACGUCAAGUCACGUUUGAACAAACAAACAAUAUUUGAUGUCAUGCAGAAACGGGGACAUGAGUACUAUGCCAACAUGAAGCCGGAGGACUUUGCUGCAAUGCAGGAAUUCAUUGCAGGACGAUCUUCAAAUCAAUCGACGCCGAAAUCCAAGCUCUAGUAGAUCUGGAGUAGACGCUUGCAAAAAGUGAACAUUGUCAAAGUCAGAGGUGAUACGUAAGUCAUGAAUAGAAGGCCUCAACAAAACUGUAGAUAUAUGCUUCAACUCAAGCGGCUGUGAAAUAGAUCACCAAGUUUCUGGUUAUGCACACAUAGAGAGCUUACUGUCAAACUGAAAUUCUGCUUCCAUGUGAGAAACUGAGAGGUGGUUGUUUGGAUAAUGGUUGACAUCAUCAGAUGAUGUUGAGAAGGAAAAUCCUGCUACCAAGCACUGGGUUUUUAUUACAUUUGGUUCCCUUCUGUGAUGGCUCCAGUCCACAUUCGCAAAUCAGAAAAUCUAGAUUGUUAACACUUAGCUUCCAUCCUUAAAUUCCAUUCAAAAAAAUGGACAGUCAAAAGAGAACCUACACCCAUCAACUUAGAAUACAUAUUAUUUCACUGUUUCUUCUGCAAAUACAUCUAGCUGAAACUUCAUCACCGUUUGACCGCCGUCACUACUUGAGAUCGAUAUCUGAGGACUAGUUUGUCUCGUGAGUACUAUACAAUGUAUUCACAUGGACUACCACGGCAACGAGGAAUUCAUGUUUUGAGAAGUCAACACAUCUCGUCAGGGACAUCAUAAUUACUGGUUCAAUGAAUGAAAAAAAAUCAUAUCUUUAACUUGAUAAAGAUCUCUCACUGCGACUUGGAUUUUCUCAUCUCCUCUACUUUUUUGAAAAUGCUGCCAUCAAACAUAUCACGGAUUGACUCCUUGGAUAUUAGGCCAUCUUUGUCCUUCAACAACCAGAAAGUCACGCUCCACUCACCUUUGGAAGCAAUCCUGCACGUCAGAGUGAGGUCAAUUACACACAUUGCAAACAAUACAGAAUUUAUAAAAGAAAAGAAAAAGAAAAGAAAACCAUUCAUUUAAUGAAGAUUGCUAGGUCAUAUCAUACACGCAUAUCAAUGUGAGCACAAGAAAAGCAGUAGCCGAUCAAAUAAUAUGGAUGUGUUUUAGUCAUUCGGUACUAACCAGCCAAAAGGAUCAGCUACGUUUCGAUUGGCAGCAGUCAUUUCCAUGAGUUCAGAAAAUGUCAAUCGAUUCUUUUCGGUCUUAGCAUAUUUACUGAAGAUCUCCUCGAAUUUGUAAGGAACGAAUCUGUACAAGCAGACAAUUCUCGCUCAGAAAAUGAAGCGCCUGCAUCUAGAACUUGUUCCACUUCAAGGAACUGAAAUGAAAGAAAGAUUCGAAUAGCUCCAUGUUUUUGAAGGGGUGGAAUAGCAAUUUAGUACCUGCCCUCCGUAUCGUAUACUUCUGUGUCACUGCCAUGCUUUGCUCUAUGUAUAUUUUUGAUGUAAACUGGGAACCAUAAUGAAGGAAUCCAGGACUGCGCGUCUCUCACAAGAAGACAGACCCAUUAGCAGCAUUCUCCACCAUUCCUUCAACUAUGCAAUGUGCAGACAGAACUCAGGCUCUGAAGAAUUAUUAAACGGGGAAUAGAAGAUUACUUACAUCAAGAGUAGGGUAACUUUGGGCACUGUGUAUGAAUAACAUGCCUAUAAAAGAUAUUAUGAAAUUGAAUCCAAGAGCAUGGAAUCCUGGGGAAGCGAUCAUUGAAUCAAGAAAAAAAGUUAAGACCUGAAUGAACGCUGCCGCCAUCAGAUCACAUUUCACAUUGUAGAAAAGAGAGUGCAACUAAGGAAAUUGUCGUCUCAAGUGAUGAUUCAGGAAUUAGGGUGAAUAAUGCAUAAAUUCAUUCAACAUAAAAUAAAUUAAUAAAUAAAAUUAAAAAUGAAGGCACUACCUUGGAAAGUCUCCCACGGAUAGAUAACGCCGUCGUUGUUCCGAUCGAAAAAGGCUAUGUGCUGCUGAAGCACUGAAUAGCCAUUGUGGUUGUAGUCAGGAGUGCCUUGGGGAUAGUCGCCUCCUGUGGCCUCCAUCGCUCGUGGUACAUCUGCGGCAACAAAACUCCUCGUGAUCGAGCAUUAGGACACAGAUAAGAGGCCCAGUGUUGCGAGAAAUCGAGCACCUGAAUUUCCAAGUUGUCAACAAGCUCUCAGAGGACUUGAAAGAAACAAUCGUCUGCGUACUUUAGGAAUGAACGACGAGCUCUAGUUCUCAGCGAAAGGUAGUAGAAAUUAACGAUCUCAAAAUACACUGCAACAUCCAAAAUCAUGACCUAAACUGAUCUGUUUUCAUGGACCGUGCCAACCAUGGAUGCUUAACCAAAAUCUCAAUAACUUCAAAACAUGAUAGUGGGGUUUAUUACGAGGCUUCUCUACUCCAACAUCACCGCUAAUGGCAGUGCGACGAUACAUCACGGGCGCCAUUGGCGCCACUGUCUCCACGUUAAUUUCGUUCCCACUCUGCUCUUCAGCCAUCACUAUUUCGUCCACCUCACGGACUAAUUUUUCACAGGCUUCAGAGUCUUUGUCAAGUCUCUACGAAAACACCCAGAUGCACACAAACAGUAAUCCCAACCUAAAUCAGUGAAAAACUCAACAAAUGAGCUCGUUGACACUAAUCUCCGAUGUGGAGAGAGGUAGGAGUAAGGAUCACCAGCGGGGUCAAAGUACCACUUGACAACCUUUAAAGCACUCUAGUUUCUCAAGUUCCAUAAAAUAAAAACGCAGCAACAGAAACUCGAGGUUGAAUCGAUUGCAUGCAAUUCCGACUCAAAGCUUACCGAACUAAAGUCGUUUCAAACCCAAUUCAAUUUCGAGACGAAUCUAAACAAAUGAUCCCCAAGUGCGAAGUUCGUGAAACAAAAGUUUGACUUGCGACUAGAACUUGCAUACAAGGCAGCUGCUUCGUGAACACUUCCGCUGGAAGUUGGUAAUUGUUUUCAAGGCCGGCCAUGAUCCGAAGAAGUGGGCCGGUAGUAGCCCAGCUAUCACGCCGCGUCUGGAAAUUACUGUUUGCGUUGGGGGCAAGGUGGUCUGAUGCUGACAGUCGAUGUGUUCGAAGGAGGGGUCGCCAAUUGGCAUGCAUGCUUGUCAGCAAGGGCCCUCUGCAACGAUUCCCUUAUGGACGAAUUGGAAAUCCGAGUUUCCCAAAUCGCGUAGAUUGCUGUCAACCUUUCGGUGCCAACUCUUAAACGAACGAACUUAGUGACCAGGUUUCGCAAAUUUCUUACCACAAUCAGUCCAUCCGUUUGAAGUAUCGAACCGUUCUUGAGAAACUUGACUUGCUCAUGAGAGUAACAAGUCAUCAAAUUCCACACGUUAGUGAGCGUCGAGGUUGGAUAAGGAGAACGAUCAAGAGAGAAAUUGUAAGUGAAAACUGUAUUGAGUGAGGUAUUGAAUGAAGAAUCUCAAGCGAGGGUUUAGAGUGGAGGAUGAAAGUUGCUCCGCGAGAAAUAGAACGAUGGUAUUCUCACUACCACCACAGUUAGAUCCUUGUUAGGGGGCCCCCUUGUCUUGGAACAAAUAUUUUAAAAAACAAUUAUAGCGGAUGAGGGGAGAAACAACAAUGUCGGAAAUUGUGUUCCCAACCAACACAAAAGGACCGCAUCACCUCAUCUUUUAAGGCGAAAUUGAUAGAUUUGUUUUGCUUCAAAGAGGAGCAGAUUUUAUCUUUUUGAGAGAUUUCUGAAACUCAUGUCACGGUCACAAAAUUCAUACAGACUACUGUGGGGACAUGAAAUGCAGAUUUAUGUCUAAAUAGACGCGCUAAUGUGGAUGAGCUUCCAGUUCGAUCAUGCGAAAUGUACGUGUUAUCGAUGCUUCACAGAUUAUACACAAUUAGUUAACAUGUUUCUAUAAGUUAAAUAAAUAAAAUAAAUCCAAUCUACACUUCGCUCAAAAAUGUGGCAAGCGAACGUGCGACGUCGUCAGCAUACUCCUCUUGAGGCAACAACGCUCCUUUCAUCUUCUCGAACUUGGUGACACCCUUGGCUCCCUCUAAAGCCUCCAUCUCAGCUCGUGAUCGCUUAGGAGCUUUAAGGGUGGAGAUGACGAGCACGGGAACCUUUCCUUCCAGUGCAGCAAACAUGGCGAGAAACUCCUCUCGUGUCAUGACUGGGUCUAGAAGACCAGUAAGGAAAGCUGCAGGUGCAAAACGAGCGCCAUCCCGUUGCGUCAAGGCAGUUCGGCUCUCAAUCAUAGCCGGUGUCACGUUGUCAGCAUCAGAAUAAACGUGGAUCAGAUAUUGCAUGCGAAUGUUCUUGGGACUGCUCACAAAGUACUUGUAUAUCGCCCAGCCAACGCCUGGGGAUCUCAGAGUGCCGCGCACUAGACCGUACCUGACAAACAGACGCAAAACCCAUCAGGAUCUCGGCUUUUGAGCAAUGCCCCACAGACAGUCACUCGUCCUCAUGGUAUUAAAUAACUGGGUAUUUCCGAGAAAGUAUACAAAGUUGGUAAGAUACAGACCUUGAUUCCAUGGUGUCACUGCGCCCAAACACAAUUGGCAAAGGACCACUCCAUGUAGGAGCAACAGCAGCCAUAGCUUUGGCAUUGAUCAACCCUUUACUGACCGCACGAAUAGAGAUGCUUGCGGCGUGGCCUCCACCAAUUACUACAAGUGACUCACCUGAGUAGAAAAUCUUGUCUAUGAGCACGAUUCCAGCAAAACUCUCUAUGGUGGGAAUUGUUCACGAAAAAAAUUCACGUUUCAAGUUUCCUCAGCUGAACUGACCUUGAACGCCAGCUAGAGGUCCAUUGGCAGCAGUCACGAAGUCUACCAAAAACUUUUCAUACAUAUCAACUGUGUAUUCCAGUGCAGGCCUAUCUGAAAGCCCCAAACCAGGCCAGUCCACAAUUACAGCUCGUCUUUUGCAAGACCCUGCGUUCGUCACAAGCUCCUCUGCCACGUCGUACCACUCCUCGGUUGUGCUUACAUCCGAGAGAGAUGGCAGCAGCAGCAGCGUCUCUUGAGCGGCCCCUUCUCCUUCUGACCCCUGUUCCACGUAAUUGAUGUUCAAGGAGUUGCCCUCGUAUGUCCAAGUCCAUGUUCCCGUUUGGAGCUGUGAAAUCCAGAGACAGAUGAUUGUUAGAUAAAGACGUCCUCUCAGCCGACUAUGUGCCCUGGCCAACUUUGCUUCAAAAGCAAUUUUACGCGCGUACAUUCCAUUUAAUCAGGUCUGAAACCAUUCGAGAUGGGUUGAGAGAUGUCCAGGGCACGGUGGCUAUCAGGAUUCAUCUUCAUGAUGAAGUUUGGUGUCUCGGCCGCGGUUUCAGACUCUGAAUCUCAGUAAAUUCCGACAUGCCUUGCGCGAGUGCCCGCCAUCGGACUACCCAGCAUUUCGUUACUGUGAAAGCCACUUUUAAUCCACCCUUUCCAUUCUAAAUGCCCCGCUAGAUCUCUGCACUUGCAAAGAGUAUGAAAAAGCUCUCUGUUGAUAUAUUCAGCGAAGCUCAACGCAGCUGUACAUAAUAGGGGAACGCUCAAUUACUGGCAAUACAAUGGGAGGUGGUGGAGAAUAACCUUGGGGGAUUCGGCAGUCUCCACGGCGGCAACUGACGCUUGCGCUUGCAUUCCACGAUUACUCAUCCAUACUCCACGUUGCUGCCCCACCUGAAUACUCGAGCUCGUCUUCACAAAUGAGAAAUCCCCACCAUAUUGCGAGGUAAAACCCCUGGAUGCAAUCGCCACUUUCACUACAUUUUUGGACCUCCGGCUACUGUUCCGUAACGCGCAAGCUAUCGUCGGGGCACGCCUACCACAUGACGCAGAGAGAGCGCGCAAUGCCAUAUCGCACCACAGAUCCAGUCCCCCUCUACAAACAACACCAACAGCCUUUCAUAACCAAGAACCCACAAUCCUCAGCCACACACCAACUCAUCAAAACCGCCGUCAUCAGCAGAGCAGAUCAUCCCAGUCUCCAAAAGCGAAAUCUUCUGCCACUAUAGCCUCAACCCACACCCUAAACAGACAACAAAAACUCCCAUCCCCACAACAAGAGAAAACACCACACUCUAAAUACACCCAGCUUCGUCAGGAAAUCCCACUCAUCUCAAGUAUGUAAUCCGCAAUCAACUAAUACCUCUUCCAGAGAAAAUACACGCUCUAGACGAAUGCCUACAGCAGCGCUCCAGGCGUCGAAAGCGAGCUAGAGAGAGAGCGAGAGAAACAGAGCGAGGUUCCCGCUGAAUGUUGCAAGCAACGGGGUGCGGGGGAGUGAGUGCGGGAGGGAAGGAGGGUGGAAUUGGGGCUGGGGCCGGAAGCACCACGGCGUUGCGUGACCACCGUGGCCAUGGCCGUGAGAGCCACAGCGUGAGCCCCCCGCGAUCCCCCGCGACCGAGCCACAGCCGCGAAGUGUGUGUGUGACGGCGGUGUGGCCACGGCCCCCCUCGUAGAAUCGUGUCGCAGGAACCUCCUUAUUCAAUCGACUGACUCCGCUAUCGUGGGCCGUCGGAUUGCAGCUGCCUCGCAGAUGCAAUCUCAACCGCCGAUCGGAUACCUGGGAACGGAGGGAAGUAACGAAGGGGAACCAGUAUUGGAGAGCCGGGCAGUAUGGAGAGCGGUAGGUCGGGAACUCAGACCCCAUUCUUCAUUAGGCCCGCACUCAUCCACAUUGACAUGGGUGCUGAAUUUUGUAUAGUAUAAAAAUAUAAAUUUUGUAUAAUAUAUUUUUGUAAAUAUUAAAUAUUAAAAUAUUAAAAUAUUAUUUUUAUUUUAUUUUUCAUUAAAAAGAAUUUCACAAAAUAAAAUUUUGAGUUAGUAACUUUUGUACAGUAUCUUAAUGAACACAAUAUUUUUAUAAAUAUGUAAAGGUUCUUCCAGCACUACUAUAGUUCUAGAAAUAGGGUUUUUUUUUUUUUUUUUUUUUUUUUACUUCAAUAGUUAAUUAAUUGAUUAUUUGAAAAAAUAAAUGUUUUGAGCAUUACUAAAGUUUCAAGACUAUUAUUUUUAAGUUGAACUAUUUUGUUGUCAUAAAAAUAAAAAAAUAUAUAAUUAAAAUUAUCAUCUUUAUAGAAAAUAACAUACAUUAUAUACAUUUUAAAAGUAUCUAAAUAAUUAUGCUUAAAAUUUUCAAAUUUAGUUUUAUGCAAUAUAUAUUUUAACCAUCGUUCAGCACCAGGUAUGUCAAUGUGGGAUCAGUGCGGCCACAAUGAGGAAUGGCUUCUGAGUUCCCAACCUGCCCGACCUCCAACCUGCCCGCCCCCGUGGUUCCUUCCGUUCCCAGAAAUCCGAUCAGCGGUUGAGAUUUCAUCUGAGCCGUUGCUGAAAUCCGACGGCCCACAAUGGCGGAUCAAGCCGAUUAAACAAGAAGGUUUCUGCGACACGUAGUGGCGAGGCACGGCCCCCUCGGGCCGCUUUUACUUUUUGGCUCCCAUCUCAUAUACUUCCUCGUUCACUUCCUUGUUCCGUUCUUCCCUCCCUUCCUCGUUCACUUCCUUGUUCCGUUCUUCCCUCCCUUCCUCGUUCACUUCCUCGUUUCAUUCUUCGUUCCCUUCCUCGUUUCGUUCUUCGUUCCCUUCCUCGUUCCGUUCUUCGUUCCGUUAUUCGUUCUCUUCCUCGUUCCCCCCACUGGAUAUUGAGCACUGAUUCUUGCAAACAUGCACUUGUUAAAAAACGUUACGAGCACAGCAUUUACAUGUGUAUUCGAUUUUGUACAAAAAGAAAAGAAAAGAAAAAUUAUGGAACUGAUGAUACGUUGACACUUCUUGGUCAGAGAUUUUUAUUUAUUUUUUAUUUUUAUUGAAUUGAAUUAUUUGAAUAAUUAGUUUUAUGGAUGAAGAGAAAACACCACAAGAUUUUUUUUUAUCACAACUGUAUCAGUUGUGAUAUAUGUGUAUUCAAUUAUCAAAAUUAGUUAGUUGUCAUUCUUUUAGGUUUUUUCAAAAUAAUAAUCUUAUUAUGUUAACUGUAUUUAUUAUUACUUUAUUUUUUAAAGUAGAAAUAUACUGUUGAUUUUGAACUCAUAGAACAUACGAUGGUAUUAUAUAGUCUAAAAUCAAAUACUUUUUUUCAUUCAACAUGUAAACCCCAGAACAGGAAAAAAAAAAAAAAAAAAAAAAAAAAAAAAGGAAAAAAAAGGGACAAAAAUGGACAAAUCAAGAUAAGUAUAUAUAUUUUUACUUCAGAAAACGUAAUGCCAUAUAUUUUCAUGUCUUCUCCUUGCUUUGUAUCAACUCCUUAAUAAUUAUAGGAAUCUACUUGAAAACGCAUUUUGAAAUUUUGCUUCACAAAUGAUUUCUGUUUGGUCAAAAUCUGUUUUGUAUGUAGGUCAAUGAAAUAGCAAAGAUUGUUGUUGUUGAAUACAAAUAUAGUCAUUUUUCAGUUGGUCUUUUAUGAGAAGACAUUUAUUGCUUCUAAGAUAUAUAUAUAUAUAUAUUUAUACAUAUUGAAUUCUACAUGAACUGUAGUUAAUAUUCUUUCCCUUAUAGACAUUUAUCAUGAACUCAAAUUAAUUUUGGAAAUAUCUUUCAUCAAAAAAGAAUUAGCACUCUCACUGAUAAAAUAAAAGUGAAUUGUAAACCAUUGAGAGACUUUUAUGUUCUUUUUUUAAUCUAAGUCUCUACUUUCUAUUUUGUUUCUAAAAUGAAAUCAAAUUUUUUAUGCAAAAUAAUAUCUAACUAAUAUCCUACUUCUUUAAUAAAAAUAACUUAAUCCAUGAAAAAUAUUAUAGAAAAAUAAUCUCUUUUGUAUAAAAUAUACAUGAAAGCUUUAAAGUGUUGUCAUUUAAGUCAAUAUUAACUCUAUCUAAAAUUAGAUUGAAAUUAGUUUUACAUAUUCCUGUGUACAAUUUAUUAUUCAACUAGUUAGAAUUCCAAUUUAAUAUUCCAAGUUAAAAGACCACCCAAAAAACAUUAAUAUUGUGAUAUAAAAUCAUGGUUGCUUCACAUCAAGUCGUUUUUAUUUUUUUUCAGUAAUGAUUCAUUAAUGAUAAUAAUUAUCAUUUUGUUAUAUUAAUUGAUGUAAUUUGAUGUUGGUCGAUGUGUAAAUGAAGAUAUCGAUUUGUGUGCACUAAAAAUACUUCAAUAUUUUAAUAUACCAAUAAGAAUAAUUUGUUUAAAAUCAUUGUAGAUAUCAUCAUCUUUUCUAUUAUUUUCCUUCAUGGCAUUCAUUGCAAGGGAGAAUUGCCCAAUAUCAGCCACUUAUAGGCCCAAAGACCCCAACCAGGCAAACAAGACACUGGAAUCAAAAACUAAUAGCCCCACUCAAAAGGGAGCAACUCUACCUUUGUGAACCUUUGUGAAGUGCUUCCAACUAAUUAGCCUGCCUACUCUGGUGCAUAACACUUGGUUGUUGCCCCAUCUUCUGUUAUAUUCCUGUUGAGUCAAAUGUUAGGCCCUUUACUAGCCCAUAAAAGAAUUGUACUGUGUAUUUCUACGCAUCUUUUUCAACUUGAACUUCUCUUACCUUUUUGGAUAUGCAUCUUAAAAAAUAGCUAACAAAUAGAGUUCAAGUAUUCCAACUUUCUUUCUUCAUUUAGGAUAUUGAUUAAUUUUUUGUUGAUUUAAUCAAUAUCCUAAAUGAAGAAAGAAAGUCCAAAAAACAUCUCUAAGAGUUUAGAAAGGUGAUCCUUUUUUAUCCAAACCAAGCCAUAUUGGUUGAGCCAUGGCAAAGGUUAAUCAAGUUUUUCAACCCAAUAAACAUUAGAUUGGCUAUAAUUUAUAAGAAGUCCAAAUGUGAGGUAGAAUUUGUUGAGGAUGUGUACCAAGUUGGCAAUUGAGUCUCUCUCCACAUAUAUUAAAAAUUAAGUAUUGUCUGCAUAUUAAAGUGUGAGCUGUUGAGUUCAAGAGAAGGUGACUUUAUUUCUUUAACUUUGUCCUUGGUUUAUACUUGACAAAAUUUUGCAUUUAAUACCUCUAUGAUGAUAAGAAAGUAAUAUGAAGCUAACAAAUAGCCUUGGCAUACUUUCUUUUUGAUAGAGAAUGUUGUUAAAGGUUGCUUAUUGAUAUUAAUAAAUGCUUCAGUACCAUCAAAUGUAAGACUAACUAACUAAAUAAAUUUUUGGAGAAAGCCCAUCUUUUCUAUGGUUUUAAAAAAGUAACACCAGUUUACUCAAUCAUGAUUUUUAAGAAACUGAGUUUGAGAAUAAUUGUCUCUUAUUUCAAUUUUGUGCCAAGCUCAAGGUCUUAGAUGUAAGCAAAAUAUUAUGAAGAAUGAAGCAAUUUUACAAAAAAAGAACUUUGGUCAAGAUUGAUAAGUUUGCAUAAGGAUUCUUAAAGACGGAGUUGCAAUUUCUUUGUAUAGAUUUUGUAUGAAACAUUUUAAUAGUGUUAUUGGGCACUAAUUUAUUAAAAGUUUCUUAUUGCCACUCUUCGAGAUGAAUAUGAUGAGGUCUGCUGUAACUUCAUUGGAGAAUCUCUCUUUGUUAAUGGCAUCUUUGAUCAUAUCAGUAGACUCAUCUCCAAUUAAGUUUCAAAACUUAAUAAAGAAAUAAACUAUGAUGCCAUUUGGACUUGGUAUUUAUUUAUUUAUUCAUUUUUCCUAUUUUGCAGGGAACAAUAAAAAAGGCUUCUUUUAAAAAUAGGUGCCAAAUCUCUUAGAUCAUUCACUUUAUUACAUUCUAAAAAAAAACUUCAAAGAUUUCUUGCUCAACUUUCAAGGCUUUUGAACUUCGCGAUUGUUUGUCAUUGAGUUCUUGAUAGUAAUGCACGUCUUUUUCUUCAAUGUGGAUGUUAUUUGAGAUUUGUGAUCCAUCUCAUAUUUGAAGUUUAGUGGAAAUGAUUUUUGUUAGUUUUUUUUAAAAAAUUAAUUAAUUAUUUUUUUAUUUUUUAUUUUAUUGUUGUUUAUUUUAUCUUAUUGUUGUUUUUUAUUUUAUUGUUGAUUUUUAUUUUAUUGUUGAUUUUUAUUUUAUUGUUGAUUUUUAUUUUAUUGUUGAUUAUUUUAUUUUAUUAUUUUAUUACAAAAAAUUCUUUGAUUAUUUGAUCUUUAAUCUUUUUUUAUUAGAUUCUUGAUUUGAGCCUUCUACCUUUGACUCUCUCAGUCUUAAUCAUAAGAAGUUCUUCCUUACACUUAUCUACUUGUCAUUAAUACACUUCAUUUUUUGAUUCAACUUAUAAGAUACAUUGAGAUGGUUCUAAGGCCUCUUUUGCCUUACAUUACUUCUAGCGAACUUCUUCCACCUUGUACUUGUAGUAAGUUUUAUAGAAUCUUAUGAAUUUCUUCACCUCUAAAAAAAAAUCUUUUUUUUAUUUUUUUUUAUUUUUUUAUGUAUCCUACUUCUUUCACUAUACCAUUGUUCAAAUAAUGAGUGUUCAAUUUAUAUUUUCUUCUUCUUGGGACUAGAACUUGUAACACUAAUUCAAUCGUGACUAAGAGAUGAUUAGAAGCUAUAUUGUUACCAUAGAUUUGAUAGUUUUAUAUUUUAAUAUUUAAUCCACUACUAUGAUCAUCUAAGAUAUAAUAUCUAUUUAAACUUUCUAAGACUCUAUAUCCAUCUUUCUUAUUAUCCUACAAAAAUUAUAAAUUUUUGGUAUGUUAAAACUAUUAUAAAAAUCUAAUAAGAAGAUUUUUAAAAAUAUUCUUAGAAUAUUCUUUUAAAUUCUAUAAGAUUCUAAAAUAUUUUAAAAAGAUUUCUAAAAGAUUUUUAGAAUAUUUUAGUAGAUUCUAAAAAUUCUAAGAAGAUUAAAGAAAUUAUUUAAGAAGCUUUUUAUGAAUGCUUCAUCUUUAAUCAACAUAGAAACUUCUUGUGAAGCUUUCUAAGGUUGUUUCAUCUUCAACUAAUAUAGAAACUCUUUGAAAAGCUUCAUAAUAUCUAAUAUAUAUAAGAAUCAAGGCUGAAGAGAUCCUCAGACUCAACAACACAUUUCUUGGAGCUCUAAUUCAUCUUUUUGGUCUUGAUUUUGUACUCAUCUGAUUUAAUUGAGUUCUUAUUAGCUUUCAUGUUGAAAAUUUUUAGUUCAACUUCUUGCUUGGUCUCAUGUAUAGUGAAUCUAUGAAAUUUUUUUGAAACUACCUCCUUAUCAAUGCUAGAACUUAAUCUUUUUUUGAUAAAGAGUAGAUUAUUCUACUUUUUAAAAGCAUCUAAGUACUUUAGAGGUUGCAUAAUAUCCUCCUCUAAACAAGUAUUGAUUUAAAAUCUCCUUUUCAUUUUUAGAAUGGCUAGAAGUGAAGAUAUUACUAUGGUUGAAUCUCCAAAGUCUAAGUUAGAUAUUAUUAUGAAUACAUUGAAUGCUUUAACUUGUAAAACUAUUGAAAUUGAGGAAUUUUUUGCAAGGUUUCAUGGAGAUACAAGACUUGGAAUAAGUCAACUUAUAAUGUAACUACUUUCUUAAGAUUUUAUAUCUAAAGAAGUAGUGGCACUUGUAUCUCAACAAGAAAAUUCUCUUAUUUAACAAUGUAAAGAGCCUCAGAUUAGUCUUUUAGAAAAGUUUGAUGGCACAUGCUUGAAGUUUAGAAGAUUUGUUAAGCAAACUCAAUUGAUAAUUUUUCUACAAAUUGAGUGCUAUUCAACAAAAGAGUCGUGAAUUGGUUAAGUUAGAACCUUGUUCACAAGACAAGUCUUAUUUUGAUAUUCUCUUUUAUUUGAGAAGAAAUUUUUAAUUUUAAGUAAUUAUGAAGCUUUCUUAAAAGCAUUUAUAGAGGUAUUUGAAAAAUAUGACAAGGCUCAAUGGACAACAACAACAUUUUUUUUUAUUACAUUUUUAUGUUUUGGUUUGGCUACCAUGUAAAAAUAAUACAUAUAUAUAUAUAUAUAUAUAUAUAUAUAUAUAUUAUAUAAUAUAAUAAGAGCCAUGUUAUUAGAUUUUAAUUAAUUACAAAAUAUGAUUAGAUUAAUCCUUUGAAGUAAUUAGUUUAAAAAGGCUAUUAUUGAAGUUGAUUUUAUAUUAAUAAUAGUUUUUAUAUAUUUAAAACCACCUUUAUUAGACAUUGGUGACUCUUAAAAUCUUGUUUUGUUUCUUUGAUUUGGUGUUUAGGAUACAUAUUAUAUAAAACUUAUUAUAAAAAAGAUUAAAGAAGGAUUUUGUACAAAAAAAGAUAGUUGGGCCAAUAAUAUGGAUGAAUGGAAAUAGAUGAUGAAAAUCUCUAUUAUUAUUGACCAAAAGUCAUACCUAAUAGACUUCAAGGAGGCUACUCAAGGCCUUAUUAGGAAUUAGAGUUAUUCCUUCAAGUCCAUUCAAAUAUUAGAGGCUAGGAUCAUCAAGUUGAGGAUUUUGGAUAUAAUUUUGAUAAAAAAUUUGUAUGAUUUGGAGUUUUUAUGAAGAAGAUAUAAGCACUCAAAGUUAAGGUGUUUAUUUUGUAUCUACUGAUAUCUUUUAGAGCAUAGUGCACGUGUAUAAAGGGCUUUUGAGGAUUUGAUUGUGCGAUUGAAAAGUUGGUUUAAACAACUAUAUUUUGCAUGUAAAAAGAAAAAAAUUUGGAAUUAAUUAAGAGGAGCAAUGACUUUUUAGAAGCAAUGCUUCCAAAUUGAGGUUUAUCAGUGAACCAAUUCUAUGAGAGAUUUGGUUCUAGCCAUAUCUUAGGCAUUUAGAUAAAUUUUUAGCUAAAAUAUUUCAAAAAUAUGUAUUAUUUUGUUAUAAAACUACAUACCAAAUUUUUUGGUAUUUAGAUUUUGUAUUUUUGAGAUAUGAAAAAAAUAGUAUUUGGAUGUGUAUAAAUUAGGAUUUAGAGUGCCUAUUAGGAUUUCUAAGAUGCCAAACAAUCUAUAAUAGAUUUAGAGUUCAUUUUUUUUGUAGUAAAGCUUAAAGAUAAAUACUAUAUUAUCAAAAAAAAUUAAAAAAAACUAAAUAGUUGGAUCUAGAGAUAUGAUAUUCUAAAGUUGAGGAAGAAAAAAAUCCUCUAUAGGAAAAAAAUAUUUUGAAAUGGUUUAGCUAUAAUUUUGGAAUUUUAUACAAAUUAAAGAGAUUUUUGGAAGCCAAGACUUUAUAUACAUGUUAAAAAUAGAGAUAUGGAACUAUGAAAAAAUUAUGAUGUAAAGAUGGAUUUUUAUAAAAGAAUUAUGGAUUUUUUUGAGUUUAGAAAAAAUCUAACUUAUCAGCAAAUAAUUAGUUAUAAUUUGGUACAUCAAAGGAUGUUAAGGAAUUUUUAGAUGUUUUAAAAAGCCUUGUGUAAAAACCUUCUUAAAUAUAAAAUAUUUUUAUUAUUAGAAUAUUUUUUAUAUUACUUAUUUUAUUUAUCUUCAAUAAUAAGAAUAAAUCACUUAUUAGAGCUUAGUCAAUAUAUUAAAGCUAAAAUUUCUAUAGCUAGAUAUCCAGUAUAUUUUUAAAUAAAAAAUCAUGCUAUAUAACAAUAUCAAAGGUCAUGCCUUGCAUCAAUUUAUGCUUCUAAUUUUAUGCAAUGGGAUUAUGACAUCAAUUGGGAUGAACAAGUUCUUAUGAGCCAAUUCUAUUAGAAACUAAGGGAUGAUAUAUAAGACCUAUUACUAUCAUUAUCUGAUUUUGAAAUACUCAAGGAAGCUAUUAUCAAAGUUGUAAAGUACAAUAAUUGAUUAUUUCAAUGCUAUCAAGAUCAAUGCUAUUGUAUUACAAGAAUUCUUGCUUGAGAAUCCAUUGGGCAUCUGGUUAUAGAAGGUAGAAAAGAAAUUGCAACAACAAGAUCCUAAUAACUCUAAUAGAAUCUUAAAUAAACUCCAAUUAAACCUUAAUAAUGCUAAUCAAGCUUUAAUAAAAUCCAAAAGAAAACUUUAAAAAAUUACAAAAAAAACAUGAAGAAAUCCUAAAGAAUUUCUAAAGAAAUUAUAUAGAAAUCAUAAAGAAAUAAUAUGUAGACCUUAAAGAAAUCCAAAAGAAAUUUACAUGAAAUCAUAAAGAAAUAUUAGAAAAAUCUUAAAUAAAUCUCAAAUAAAUCCUAAUCAAAUUCUAUUUUAAUCCUAAUUAAAAUCCUAAUAGAUCUUAAUUAAAUUCUAGAUCAAAUCUUAAGUAAACUUUAAAUCUUAAACCAAUUCUUAUACAAAUUUUAAAUCCUAAAUCCUAAAUCAAACCUUAAACAAGUCUUAAAUCCUAAAUAAAUUCUAAAUCCUAAAUUAAAUCUUAGAUAAAUUUGAAAUCCUUAUCCAAAUCCUAAACAAAUCCUAAAUCCUAAAUCCUAAAUAAAAUUCUAAAAAAAUCCUAAAUCCGAAACCAAAUUCUAUACAAAUUCUAAGUCCUAAAUAAAUUCUAGAUCCUAAUCAAAUCCUAUACAAAUCUAAAUCUUAAUCAAAAUCUAAUCAAUUCAAAUCAAUCGUAAUGUAGAUUAGAAUCCCAAUAUCUAUUAAUUAAAUCUUUGAUAUUACUUAAAAAUUUAUAUACCUCUCAAAUUCUUACUUAAAAAUAAGUACAACAAAUUUGAAGAUAAUCGCACCUACCAAAUAGAAGAAAAUCCUAAAAUCUACUAUGGUAUUGACCAAUCUCAUACUCUAAUCUAAAUAUUGAAUUUCUAGUGCCAAUAUCUCUCUUUUGAACCAUUGAAUUUCUCCCAAAAUUCACUUAAAAUAUUGUAAAUGAAGUCUAGUCUCUACGCACAAAAAAAAUUCACUUCAAUCCAAUUGACAAAUUCCUAAAGAACUUAAAAAUAUUCAUUGAUCCUCAAAUUCUAAUUUUUGAGACCUCAACCCACAAAAACUUGCACACAUUAUGAUCUAAUUGUUUAAUUAACUUCAAAAUUUUCAUAUACAUUUACAACUAGUAUAGAAAUAUUUUUCUCAAAAUUUACUUAUAUAUACAUUAUAGAACUCAAGAAAUCCUCAAAUAUAUAAAUAUUAUUUUAUUUUUUAAAAUCUAAACCAACCAAAAAUAUCACUAUCUUUGAAAAUCCUUCCAAAACUAAAUAUUCAGUUAAUUGAUACAAAAUAAAUACUUAAAAAUCUCUUUGUAAAUUUUCUAUCAAGUUUCAUUCUCUAAUCUACCAAAAAAUCAUAGAGUCAUUAUAGCUACUUGGUUUUGUGCCUUAGGAUUUGAUUUCAACUUAGGUUGACAAUUAAUCCUUUCUAGCUAUCAAUUCUUAACUUUUUGAGGUAAACUUUGCUAAAAUCUAUUCUUAACUCAUUCCUAAAUAUAUUUAUAUUAUUUUAUUUUCUAAUCUACUUUUUUUUGCCUUAUUUAUAGUUCUAUAAGGUAAAUAGAAGCCUAUAUUUUUAAUAAAAUAGUAAUAGUAUCUUUUAAUUUUAUUAUCUUUUUGACUAUUACCUAUUUUCUAAGAUAAUUUGUUACAAUAUUUUAAAAUAAAAUCUUCUAUAAUAUAAUUUUUUUUUCUUUCUUUCAUUCAUUAGUCGUGUUACUUUAUAACAAUGCUUGUGGAAUUUAAUAAAGUAAUAUAUUAAAAAUUCAUACUUUGUUAUUUCAACAAAUAUAUUAUGUCCACACUCUAGACUUGACAAUAUGCAAAUUGAUGUAGUACAAUUGAAACAUCUUACAAUAGAAGAAAAAAAUUAUCAAUUUCAACAAGGCCUAUACUUAUAUUAUGAUAAAGAAGGUUACAAAUUUGGAAAUUUUCUAUAGAAACAAUAUACAUCCAAGACUAGGAGUGCAAUCAUUCACAAAAAUAAAGAGGCCUAAUCACAAUAGGAAUUGUAUGAUUGGACAUUUUAACACCUUAAAUUCAUCAAGGUCCCUCUUUCAUUAUCUAACCUACUUUUUGUUUUAAUAUAUCCUUAUUUCUUGGCCAAAAAAAACUUCAAACAAAUGCCUUAUUAGAUUUAAGAGCAUCUGAUUGCUUUUUAGAUGAAGAAUUUUUUAUACUUCAUAAAAUUCCUCUAAUAUAGAAGUCAAAACAUGUAUAUGUAGAAGUAAUAUCUGACCAGUCUUUAUCUUGUGGUAAUAUUAUCCAUAAGGCCAUAUUCCUAAAAAUAUUAUUUGAAGGCCAUAGUAAUAAAAUAAUAUUCAAUAUUAUUAGAAUUCCAUCCAAUCCUAUUAUUUUAGGAUUUUUGUGGUAUAAAAGAUAUAAUCCAUCUAUAGAUUGGAGGUAUCAUAAGAUUAAUUUUCCUAUAGAAUUCCUUUGAGUAAAACCUAUCAAAAAGUCAUCAACAACAAAGUUUUUAUUUUAAAGAGCAAGGGCUUUUAUGAAGAUAGUUAAGAAUAAAAUGCCAUUUGCUAUCUAUGUAAUUCUACUUGGAAAAGAAAUAAGCCUAUCAGUAGCUAUCUCAAAGCAAUAUAAAGAAUUUCAAGGUGACUUUGAAAAAAAAAAAUACUGACAUACUAUCGAAACAUUGAUUGUAUGUUUAUACCAUUGAUCUUCAACAAGAGGCUCAACCACCAUUUGGUCUAAUCUAUAAUUUAUUAUAGAAUAAGCCCUUAGCAUUAAAAGAUUACAUUAAUGAAAAUCUUGCAAAAGAACUUUAUUCAUCAUUCCAAAUUUUCAAUUGGUGCAUCGAUACUUUUUAUAAAGAAAAAAAAUGGAUCUUUGUAAAUGUCUAUUGAUUAUGACAGCCUCAAUAAAUUAAUAGUGAAAAAUCAUUAUUCAUUACCAUUGAUAUUAGAGCUUUUGAAAUAACUCAAUUAAGCUAAGAUCUGUACCAAAAUAAAUCUCUCUAGAAUAAACAAUGUAGUGUGGAUUAAAAAAAGACAUAAAUAAAAGACAAUAUUUCAGACAAGAUAUGCAUAUUAUGAAUAUAAUGUCAUGCCUUUUAGAUUGAUAAAUGCUCCAGCUAUACUUCAACAAUUGAUGAAUGAUGUUUUUUGAAAAUACAUAGAGAAGCUUGUUAUUUGUCAUCUUGAUGAUAUCUUAAUCUACUCCAAGAUUCUUGAAGAAAUGAAGAAUAUGUAGAAUUAAUCUUGUAAAAGUUAUAAGAUACAAGAUUAUAUGCCAAAUUUAAAUAUAUAUAUAUAUAUAUAUAUAUAUAUAUAUUCUAUCAAUUAAAAGUAAUUUUUUUUUGGAUAUAUUAUAUCCAAUAAAGGCUUAUUGAUGGACCCAAAGAAAAUUCAAGUUAUAACAAAGUAGGCAAUCCUAAAGACAAUAUGGAAUGUAUUAUAUUUCCUUGGAUUUACUAAUUUUUAUCAAAUAUUUAUUAAGAAUUACUUCAAAGUUAUUGCUCGUCUUACUCGAUUGAUAUUCAAAGAUAAAUUGAAAUAGAGAUCUCAAGCACUAAAGGCUUUUCAAGAUUUAAAGGUAGCUUUUACUAUAAUUCUAAUUUUAUUACUUCCAAAUUUUAUAAAGGCUUUUUAUUUAGAAACUAAUACUUCUGACUUUGCAUUAGAAGUUGUAUUAUUAUACAUAGGAAAAUAUAGGAAGCUUUAUCUAUUUAUAUUCUAUUUUAGAAAGUUUUUAGCUAUAGAAAUCAAUUGUGAAAUUUACAAUAAAGAGUUUCUAGCAAUUGAAGACUCUUUUUAAGAAUGGAAUCACUUAUUGGAAGGUGCUAUACAUCUUGUGAUUACAUAUACAGAUUAUAAGAAUUUAAAGAAUUUCAUAUUAGCUUGGAUUUUGAACUACUACUAAGCUCAUUGAAAUAUGUCAUUACUUUGUUUUGAUUUUGUGAUUACAUAUUGAUCAAGAAAGUAACAAAGACUAUCAGAUAUUAUCAUAUGGCAUGAUUUUUUAUUUGAAAAUAUAUUAGGUACCUAGCUAUAGAGAAUUUAGGUAUAACUUAUUGAACAAGCUCUAAUAAGUGAUGUAUUCUUAUUAUAGAGGCCAAAAAAAUACAAUAGUAUCAAGAGAUAUUUUAUUGCUAAAAUACUUUAAUAUUUAAAAAGCUUUAUAUAUAAAGCUUUUUAAAGCAUUUAAAAAUAUCAUAACAUCUUUUUCUAUAUCAAAUCAUAACUAAAUAUUUUUUGGUGACUUUGAUUUCCCAUAAGUUCAAAGUAAAUCUAUAAUCCUCUUAUAAAAAUCCAUCUUUAUAUUAUAAUUUUUUUAUAGCUCCAUAUCUUCAUCUUUAAUAUAUAUAUAAAUUCUUAGCUCCAAAAAAUCCCUUUAUUUUGUAUAAAAUACCCAAAUUUUAGCAAUACCCUUUCAAAAUAUUUUUCUCCCACAAAAGAUUUCUCUCUCUAAAUUUAAGAAAUUCAUAACUCUUGAUCCAACUAUUCAAUUUUUUUUCAAAUUUUUAGUCAAUAUAGAAUUUUUCUUUAAGUUUUACUAUAAAAAAGAUAAAUUUUAAAUCUAUUACAUAUUAUUUGGCAUCUUAGAAAUCCUAAUAGGUGCUCUAAACUCUAAUUUACAAGCAUUUGAGUACUAUUUUCUCUAUAUCUCAAAAAUCCAAGAUUCAAAUGCCACAAAAUCUGUGUAUGAAUUUAAUAACAUAAUAAUACAUAAUUUUUUUUAAAAAAUAGCUAAAAUCUUGUUAAAUUACUUAAGAUAUAGCUCAAAAUAAAACCACUAGUAAAUUGGGUCACUUACUACCCUUAGAUUAUAAGUGUUGACUUCAACUUUCUUUAAAUCCUUUAUCCCAACUUAAAAUCAUCAAGAAAAAUAUGAAAAGUAUAGGAAAAAAAUCAUUUUUUUAAUCCCAAUGGCCAAUCCUUCAUUACUUUUUGAAUGCAUGUUGUCGUAAUACGUAAAGACUUCCUUGAGAAUACAUUAAACACUUGGCUGUGAAAAGUAGAAUAGAAAUUGUAACAACAAAAUCUUAAUUGUAAUAGAAUACUAAAUAAAUUUUAAUUAAAUCAUAAAAAUACUAAGCAAGCUUUAAUCAAAUUCAAAAGAACCUUAAAGAAAUUAUAAAUGAAAUAAUAAGAAAUAUUAAAGGAGUUCAAAAUAAAUCCAAAAUAAAUCUUAAAAGAAUCCUUAAAAAAUCCUAAAGAAAUCUUAGAAUAAUUACAAAUAUAUCUUAAAUAAAUCUUAAUCAAAUUCCAAUUUAAUCUCAGUUAAAAUUCUAAUGGACUUUAAUCAAAUCCUAUGCCAAAUCCUAACUAAAUCUUAAAUUUUAAACCAAAAUCUACACAAAUUUCAAAUCUUGGAUAAAUUCUAGAUCAUAAACCUAAUCCUAAUCAAACCCUAAAUUCUAAACUAAAUCCUAAUCAAAUCCUAAUCAAAUUCUAAUCAAAUCUUAAACUCUAAACUAAAUCAUAACCAAAUUCUAUACAAAUUCCAAAUCUUAAUCAAAUCCUAAAUCCUAAAUUUUAAACCAAAUCCUAACCAAAUUCUACAUCCUAAAUCAAAUCUUAGAAAAAUCUUAGAUUCUAAAUCAAAUCUUAAUCAAAUCUUAAAUUCUAAAUCAAACCCUAAUCAAACCUUAACCAAAUCCUAAGUCCUAAACCAAAUCCUAAGAUAAUUUAGAAUCUCAAAAUCUUUUGAUUAAACCAUUUAUCUUGUUCAAAAUUUUAUACACCUCUCAAUGUCUUAGUUAUAAAUAUAUACAACAAAUUUGAAGACAAUCGAACUUACCAAAUAGAAGAAAAAUCUUAAAAUCUGCUCAAAUAUUGGCCAGCCUCUUUUUCCAAUCUUGAUGCUCAUUUUUUAGUGCUAACAUCUUUCCUUUGCAUCAUUCAAUCGAUCUCAAAAUUCUUAUAUAUAUAAGAAAAUAAGUCUAAUACCCACAUACAUAACUUUCACUCCAAUUCAAUUAAUAGAUUAGAAGAACUCUUUAAAAUCCUUAUUAAACCUAAAAUUCUACUUUUCAAGACUCCAAUCUACUUAAACCUCUAUAAUCUUCAAUUCAAUCAUUAGAUCAAGCUAAAAUUCACAAUAUAUAUUAAGUACAAAUAUAACCAAUAAUUCACAAAAUUUCACCUACAGAUCUAUUCCAAAAUUUCUGAAAUUGUGCAAAACGUCAACCAUAUUUUAUUGCACAAAAAUCCAAAUCAUCUGAAAUAAUCUUGAUUUUAUAAAGCUCUUACAAAAACAUUACAAAUCCAAAUUAUACAAAACCAAUGUUCAUAGAAACCCUAUCAAGUUUUCUCUUAAAUCUUAUUCUUUGAACUACAAAAGAACCUUGAAGUUAUUGUAGGUGUGUGGUUUUGUGCCUUGGGGUUUGAUUUCAACCCAAGUUGACAACCAGUCCUCUCUAGAUAUCAAUUCUUAGCUUUAUGAGGUAUAUUUCUAAGAUAAUUUGUUAUAAUAUUAUGAAUUAAGAUCUUCUAUAAUAUAAUAAUUUCUAUACUCUUUCAUCUAUUAGCUGUGUUACAUCACGACAACGCGUUAUAUCCAAAAGACUGACAGUAGCUACAAAAUCAACACCUUAACUUUGAGCACCUAUAUUUCUUUCAUAAAAGCUCCAAAUCACACAAAAUUUAUAUCAAAAUUAUAGCAAAAAAUCUAAACUUUGUGAUCCUAACCUUUUAAGUCCAAAUAGAUUCAAAAGAAUAAUCCUAAUUCCUAAUAAGGCCUCAAGCAACCUCCUUAAAGUCCAUUGGACAUGAAUUUUGGCCAAUAAGAAUGGAGAUUUCCAUCAUCCAUGUCCAUUCAUCCAUAUAGAUGCCCUCACUAUUCUUUUUGCUAUCAAAAUCCCUCUUCAAAUCUUUUUCUUAUAGAUCUAUAUAAUAUAUGCCUUAAACACCAAAUAAAAAUAAAUAAAGAUAAAAAGAUUUUAAGAGUCACCAAUGCCUAAUAAAAGUUUCUCUAAACAUACAAAACUAUUAUCAACAUAAAAUCAAUGUCAAUAGUAGUCCUUUUAAAUUAACCACUUUAAAGUAGUAAUCUAAUCACAUUUUGUAAUCAACUAAAAUCUAAUAAUAUGGCUCUUACUAUAUUAUAUAUUAAAUUAUAUAUUAUAUAUUAUAUAUUCAUUAUUUUUAUAUGGUAGCCAAACUGCAACACAAUAAUGCAUUAUCAAAGAGAUCAUAUCUUAUUUUUAAGGCCAAAGAAGCAACAUUUUAUCAGCAACAUGUCAUUCUUUUGAAGCCAAAAUAAUUUUGUUUAUGUGCUACUUCUAUGAUUAUAUCUGUUGAUUCAAAUUUUCUUGAACAAAUUUGUGUAGCAUGAGGUAAAAACUCAUUAGUUUGUAAUAUCAAGUAGUGCUCUUACAAUGAUAAGUUCAAGUUUGUGAAAGAACUUUUUUAUUUUGAAGAUUAUUUAUAUAUAUUCUAGAAAGACCAAUACAACUUCAUAUUCUUCAAUCUCAUCAUGAUUUUUUAGCUGUAAGACAUUUUGAUAUUAAUUAGAGUUUAUUUCUCAAGAUUUUUAGUGGCCUCAAAUGUAGAAGAUUGUGAAGGACUUAAACCUCUUGUGUGAUAUUUAUUUAAGAUUCAAGAAUUCUUGACAUCAUCCUUAUAAACUUCUAUGCCUAUUACCAAUCUUGAAGUAACUAUGGUCUUUAAUAUCAAUAGAUUUUAUCACCAAUUUGUUACCAAGAAUUAUAUUUGAUGCUAUUUAUGUAAUUUUGGAUUAACUUAUAAAGAUGGUAUAAUUUUUUUAUACAAAAAAAUAAAAAAUAAAAAAUAAAAAAAUAGAGAAAAAAUAGCAAGAUCCUUUUUUGAUAAUAUAUAUCGACAUCAUGGCCUACCUAAUGACAUCAUUUUUUAUCGAAGAACUUAAUUUAUAUCAAAUUUUUAGAAAUCAUUUUUUGAGAUAUUGAAGAUUGAUAUCUAACUUUUCUUUGUCUUUCAUCUUCAAACAUAUGGUCAAAAAAAAUAAGUCAAUCAAGUUUUGGAGUAGUAUUUGUAAUGUACCAUUAACUAUUAAUAAGAUGAUUGGACCUUAUAUUUAUUUUUAGUAAAUUUUUCUUAUAAUAAUAUUAUUCAUGCUUUGAUUCAAUAAACACUAUUUUACUCUAAUUAUGAUUACCAUCUAAAGCUUGAUUUGUUUGAUAUAUCAAAGAAUGGAAAUCCAAUAGUUAAAGAUUUUGUAAAAUAAUUGUCACAGCUCCACACAACUUUGAAGCUCCACUUACAAGUAGCUCAAGUUUCUUAUAAAGCAUCUUUAAAUGAAUUUAGAAAAUAACUUCUUCAUUUUUAAGUUGAAAAUAAAGUAUGGCUUCUUCAACUAAAUAUCAAGACCAAUUGACCUUGCAAUAAGUUAGAUUAUCAAAGACUAGGACCAUUUUGUAUUAAAAAAAAAAUCAAUAUAUUGGCUUAUCAAUUGGAACUACCCACAUCUAUAAAGUUAUAUCCAAUCUUUCAUGUUUCUCUCUUAGAGGCUUAUUUAGAAUCAAUUAUUAUAGAAAGAAUACAACCAUCAUUGCCUUGCUUUGAAAUAGAUAAUCAUGUGAAACAUGAGAUAGAAAAGUUCCUUAAUUUUCAACAAAAAAGAGGCAAGUUAGAGUAUUUUAUUCAUUGGCUCGGCUACAAUAUCAAUAAGCAUAUAUAGGAAUCAAUAGUAAAUUUAAUUAAUGUACCAAAAAAGAUACAAAAGUUUCAUCAAUGCUAUCCUUACAAAUCAAAACCUAUUUUACAAUGACUUUUCCAUCAAGCUACCAUAAGGAUGUUGUAUAUACCAAAGAAAACAAAUAUAAAAUCGAUGCUCCUUGUGGAACUCAGAGUUAGAAGAAGACGUGAUACAGACAUCCAAUAAGAAGAUUUAUAAAUAUUCUUAGAAUAUUCUAAAAGAUUAUAUAAGAUUCUAAAAGUUUUUAAAAAGAUUUUUAAAAGAUUCUUAAAAUAUUUUAAUAGGUUCUAGAAAGUUCUACAAAAAUUAAAUAAGUUAUUUGAAAAAAAAUAUUAGAAGUGCUUUAUCUUCAAACAACAUGGAAACUUCUUAUAAAGCUUUUUAAAAUUGCUUCAUAUUCAAAUAACAUGGAAAAUUCUUAUAAAGCUUCUUAAGAUUGCUUCAUUUUCAAAUAACAUGAAAACUUCUUGAAAAUCUUUCUAAGACCUCAUAUAUAUAGGAAUCAAGGCUAAAGAGAUUCUCAGUCUCAAUAAUACACCUCUUAGAACUCUAGCUCACCUUCUUAGUAUUGAUUUUGUAUUCAUCUACUUUAAUCAAGUUCUUAUUAAAUUUCAUAUUGAAACUUUUUGGCUCAACUUUUUAUUUGGUCUUAUAUAUAAUGUAUCCAUGAUAGAAACUAAUCACAUAGAUGGAAGCUUUUAUUGAACUUAUUUGAUACUAUUUGCUCUCUUUAUGAUAGUAAAAGACUGUACAUUCACAACUUAUUUUAGAUUUUUUCCACUAUAUUGAAAUUGCUGCUUACCAACUUAUAACAAUUUAAAGGUAUAUUUCUUACAAUCUCUUGUCAAAGUAUAAUCUUUUAAUUUGAGUCAUUUAAGGCAUAUAUAUUUGAGAGGCCUAGAUUACAUCUUAGUAGUCUAUUCAACAAAAUCCAUAGUAUCCUAUUAUUCAUGAAUGUUCCAUGUUUAACCACCAAUGAGACCAAUUUUUUGUAUAAUAAUAUACAAAUGCUCAUUUUUCUUAUACCAAUAAUACCAAAUGCUCAUCUAUAUUGAAAUCAAUCUCUACUUCAAUUAUUUAACUUAUAGGUUGUGGCUAUAAGCUUUUUUCAAGUACCUUAGUCUAAUCACCACAAAAUUUAUGCUCUUGAAGGCUAUUACAUGCUUCAAAAAUUACAUAUGCAUGUCAUGGCCUUGUCAUAGGCUACAAAAUUAUAUAUAUUUUUUUUGUAACAUAUGAAGAAGGUUUAAUUGAUUUAAUGGCCUUAAUUAUUAUACUUUGAUAUUGAUCUUAGCUGUGCUAGUACUAUCUUUGCCUUAUCUUUAUCCUUUAUUGGCAUUAGAUGAUGAUAUUUGCUAUAUGACAACUUCAUUGGGACAUUCUUGUAUAAGGCUCUUGCUUUUGCUCUUGUUGCAUAAUCUAUUAGAUGUUGAAGAUAUUAACUAUUGUGCUUCUAGCCAUUUUGCUUAAUGUUCAUUAAAAUAAGUUUGUGUAAAUGCUAUUAGAUUGAUGGAUGAAAUGUUGAGAUUUCUACUAGUAAUGCCAAUCUUUGGCCUUAAGCCACUAAUGAAUUGCAUGAAGUCCAAAGUUGACUAAUUUUUAUUGGCAUUUAUCUAUACUUCCAUGUAUAUAUUUGAUAGAGCUAUUUGUGCUACAGUAUAGUUAAUUUAUCUAUCAAACUUAUUAAUAGAUUGAAGUACUUGUAAAUAGUUAAUAUUAGAAUUCUAGUGAAUAAGACUAAAGUUUUUUUUCUUUGUCUUUGUUGUUGAUAAAUUAUUGAGUUGUGUCUAAGUUUGAUGUUCAACCUUAUGACCUUUCUUUAGAAUUUUGUUCUGAAUCAUUGGCUUAUGGCAUUGUGAUGGCUCUUUUGAGCUUCAUGUGACUAAGAAUGCUCUAAAGCUGUGGUGGCUGUCUUGUAUUUUUUUUCUUUUUUUUAUUAAAAUAAAGUCAUCCUCAUUUAGAAUACUAUCAUUACCUUGUACUCUCUUAUUGUGUCUUAUAGGCUCUUAUCUUGUGUUAUGUAAGUGACCUCCAUAUUGUCUAUAUCAAUGUAGGCAGUCUUUCACCAUGUGAUCUAUUACAAAAUAAUACAUGCAUCUUAUUAGAAGGUUAGCAUAAUCUAUUAAGUCUUUAAUUGUUUUUCCAAUCAUUGAAUCAUCAAUUUUUAGCUUAAUCUUCCAAUCCCAACUUAACUCAAUUGCUACACAAAACCUAAAUGCUAUAAUUAUUAUUAGAAUUCAUUCUUAGUACUCUAUCAAAGGUACCAACAAUGUUCAAUGCCAUUGUAUUAUAAUUCCAUAGGAGGUUUUUCAAUAUUAUCCAUUUGAAAAUAAACAUCCCUUUACUACUUCUCAAAUCAAACUAAGAUAACUAUUGCUAAAAAAACAUAGAUAGUAUCCAUCUCUUGGUACAAAGUUAAGAGCAAUGUUUGCAUUGCAAUCUCCUUAAUACUUGACUUGAGACAAAAGAAUUUUUUUGUAUUAGUUUGAUGGCCUUUAUUGAUCCUCUAGAGAACCUUGCAUUGAAUUUACUCAGCCAUAACAUGAAUGCAAUUGAAGUCAACUUGUUGCCUAGCAUGUUUGCUACAAUCGAAUAUUCUUCAAGAAACCUCACUUCAAAUUCUACCACUUCUACCAGACUUGGAUCUUCAUCCCUUUCUUCUUGAUCAAGAAGCUAGCAUAGUUGCAUGUAUAGAUGUCAAAGAGGCAUUCUCUCUCUCUUUUGCUUAUAGAUGAAUUAUAAUAAAAUCAAAGCAAAAUACACCAAGUAAAUCUAUUGCUAUCAAAUGAUCCAUAACCAACUCAAAGCUGUGAAAAGAAUAUAAGAAUCACUAUCUAAGAGCUAAUUGAAACCAGAUUUGCAUCAUAUUAUUGUUUGCUUAAGACUAUUGUAUAUCUUUUUUGCAUAUUAAGUGAACCCAAUAUUUGCAAAAAAUUUGUAAAAAAAAUUAGAUUAAUGAAAAGGAUGUAAGAAAUACUAUCUAAAGAGCUAAUUGAAAUGAGAUCUAUAUUUUCAGGUCAUUAUUUUCUCUUCCAGCAUCACAUUUCGUCAUUGCCAUCGCUAAAGACAACACAAUCUUUAACCAAGUUUCUCAAAUAUUAUAUCAUUAUCUUUUUCAAUGUCACCAACUUCUAAUAUACUAUUUUUGAUUAAUUUUAUGAUAAUUUCUAUGAUAGUGCUAUGAAGAUUAAAUAUGUCUUUUUUUCUUUUUUUUCUUUUUUUCUUUUUUUUUCUUUUUUUGUUAGAAUAAUCACUUUGAUAAGAUUCAAAAUAUUUCCAUUUUCAAUUGAAAUUUUUAAUUUAGUCAAGAUGUAGUGAUUUCACUUUUCCAUCUAAAUUCCUAAAAUCCCAUCAAUAUUUUAAUUGGUCUAAGUCACUUUUCUAUUACUAUAUAUGAAUUGCAUAAAUGUUGAUGAAUCAAUCAUAGUUUAAAUUUCACAAAAUUACAAUACCUUAUGAAAUAAAUAAAUAAAUGAAUAAAUAAAUAAAUAACAGAAAUGUUAAUUUGAAAUUUGAACCAAAAUGAUGUUGUGUAAUAUAAACUAUAAUAACAAUAUACUUUGAUUAGAUGGUAAGAACAUUUUGUUCUCCAAAAGAAGUAAAUAAUGCAAUAUAAAAAGUAGAAAAAUUCUUUAAAUUAUAAUAUUCAGACAUGAGUGUUGUGUUGAAUAAAACAUGUCAGAGGUGUCAGAGAUCGCAUUCAUUCUAUGAGAUGGGUUUGAAGCUUGGCACCCCAAAACAAACGCCUUUGUUGCUCCAUGCCAACCAGGUUUUACGAAAGUUGGACACCGAGAUGCAAGCCUCUCUCUAUACUUAUCUGUUCUCCCUCUCUCUCUCUAUACUUUGCUUGGGUUCGACUCUCAACGCUUGCAGAAGCAGGUGUAAGUGGAUGUAGCUUCUCUUCCUGGAGCUUGUCUUUUGCAUCUCCUUAAUUUGGCGAUGGAGUCGCCGAAGUGACCCGCAAUCGCACCGCCGCAAUGGCAGCCUUUAUAGCGAAAACAACCUCCGCAAUGAAUGACCACAGGUGGGUCCAGCUUGUCCACUUGAAUCCGCUGAUGCAGGCCUAGUUGCGAGCUUCUCCAAUCGUC